AAAAGUAGAGGCAUUAACAUUUGUCAUCUCUCCUGAAAAAUUAUUUCCAUCCAAAUAUAAAUUCUCCACCCCAUUCGCGCUGAGAAUCACAGGAACUACAUUUCCACUGAAGUUGUUAUUUGAUAGUUUCAAAAUGAUCAGUGAGCCUUUCGUGAUCAACUCUUCUGGUACUUUUCCAUACAAUUGAUUGUUUGAUAGAUCUAAAAAUGAUAAGUACUUCAUGCCACUUAAACAAAGUGGGAUAUUACCUUCAAAAGCAUUCUUGGAUAAGAGUAACCGCCUCAAAUGUGGAAAAGUUGAACAUAUACCAGUCGGAAUUUGACCUUGUAAUUUGUUUUCAGAUAUGUCAAUUGAAGAUACAUUAGAAAUAAGAGCUGACGAACGUGAGAGAGGACCUGUAAAUGAAUUACCCUUCAAGAUGAGUUCUUCUAACUUUGUGUUGUUUUCUAGCAACCAAGUUGGUAAAGUUCCACUGAGAUUGUUAUGAGAAAGAUCCACAUAUCUCAAGUCAUAUUGGUAGUAAAGGAAGGUAGGAACUUUUCGACUGAGUUGUUGAGAUGUUAUGCACUUUGACAAACUGAUGACUUCCAAUUGGAACUUUGGGAUUGAGGUAUAAAAGGAAGGUUCCAAUACCAUUUUGUUUUCAUUACUGGAGAGGGCUUUGAGGUUUGAAAGGUUUGCAAAUGGUGCAAAUGACAGUGGAAUUUGAAAAUGGUUUCUUGAAAUAUCUAACACACGAAGAGAUGUCAAGUUACUAAAACAAUGAGGAAGCAUCCCCUCAAGUGCAUUCUCACUCACUUCCAACACUUCAAGGUUCCUUAGAUCACACCAUCCUGAAAAUUUUAUAAAUUCAUGGAAGAAGUUUCAAUUAAAUCUUGUUUUAUAAAACAGAAUAGGAUAUAAUAUAUUACAGAAAGCACAUACAGCAAUCAAUUUGAGCCAUAAAAUUAUUUACCUUGAUUAGGUAAGGGACCAAUAAGUCCACAAUCAGAUAAAGACAAUGUUUUAAGAGAAGCAAAUACUCCAAUGCUUUGCAAAAUGUUGGUGUUGAGAGUAGAAUUGUCAAGAUAUAUUUCCUCCAAAUUGCUCAACACAUUUGAAUCUAAGCAAUGUCAAGAGGUAUUAGAUAACGGUAUUAUAGAAAGCCUCUACUAAGUGAAAUGCUUUAUUUUCUGUGAAUGAAAUGAAAUAUAUAAAUUUUUUUUAUGAGUGUUAGACUAUUCAUGAUUAUCUGAGAUAAAUUUUGAUGGAGAGAAGAUGUUGAAACUUUAAUAUAACUCUUCAUCCAUUUUAUUAAUUAUACUAUUUUUUUUCUUUUUAGUAUUUUCUUAUAUUAUUUUUUAAUAUAAGUAAUUAACUGAUAUGGCUAAUUUGUAUAAUUUUCAAACUCCAAUCAACAACACUAUAAAUAAUAUUUAUAAAAUAAAACAUUUCUACACUAAAAUUAUUAUAUUACCUUUAAAGUUACCAAUACUUUAAAAAAAAAUAAAAAUAGGUAUUUUACUCACCAAUAAAUAAAAUUCAAAAAUAUAUUUAUAUAUGAAAUUAAAAAAUUUAUAUGUAUUUUUACUUUAAAAAAAUAAAAACAGGUAUUUUACCAAUACUCUAAUAUGUAUUUUUAUGUUUUAUACUAUUAAAAAUAUAUGAAAUUAAAAUAUAGUUAUAUUACAUAUUUUCUCAUAAAUAUAUGUUUUUAUUUAUUUAUAAUAUCAUUUUUUUAUUGUUAUAAUCAUUUUUUAUCUCAUAAAAAUUCAAUAAAUUAUUUUAAAAAAUAUAUUUAUACAAACAAAAUAAUUAUAAACAUUAAUAUUUAAAAAUUAUGAAAAAUUUAAAGAAUUUUAGUUUCAAACCAAAGUCGAAACACAUUAUAAUGGAGGGUUUAGAAAAUGUUUCACCAAACCCAUAUUUUACUUUCAAGUAUGAUAUGAUAUAACUUUAUUAAUAUUUAUGACAAUAACUGUUAUUAUAAUAUCUGAGAUCAAAACUAAAUUUCUAAAUUAAAAAAGAAAAGGAAAUUUAAUUAAAUGAUACCUUGGUGGAUCACAAAAUCUCUCAAUUCAUUAUAGCUCAUAUCUAGUUCCCUUAAUUUGAUAAAUGCUUCCAAAUCUAGGAAAACAAAAACAACAAAUUAAUCAACUCCAUUAUAUUCUCUUAAAACAUUAUUAUAUUCUUGUUAAAAAACUAAUAUUUUUACCUUUCAUAUCUAUUGAUCCUUUCAAUUGAUUGACCCUUAUGCUCAACGAUUUCAAAUUUGAAAGCUUGUUAAGGGAUGCAAAUGCACUAGUAUUGAAGAGAUUUCCAUCUAAAUUAAGCUCUUCCAAGUGGGUCAACUCCAAUUUUCUACCACCAUCUACAAAAGAUUUAUAUAAUUUCAUCACUGAAAUGAAUUGGCAUAAAAUUUAAUUAUAUGUAAGAAUUUAGGUAAUUGGUUAAAUAUAAAUGCAUACCUUUAAAGGAUUGAAAGCUUUCAAUUUGAUUCCCACUUAAAUCGAGUUUCUUCAAAUUUGUUAAAUUGCUCAAUCCUAUACAUAUCCACGUCCAAUUUAAAAAAUCAUUAUGUUAAUAAUUUUAAUUUCUACUUAAUAUUUUAAUGAAAUAAAAAUGAAAAAGAAAGUAAAUCUAAAACUUGAAGUGAAGAUGAAAAUCCUCAAACGUGAAAUGUGAAUGUUCAAAAUUAAAACAAUUGAUUUUAAAAGGUUCUAGAAAGAAUUAUCAAGAAAAACAAAGUUAUAGCUUUAGUACCUUUAGUAUCUAAUGAGCCUUGCAAACUGUUCGACCUCAUAUUCAAGGACUUUAGGCUUGAAAGCCCUUGAAGAAAGGAAAUUGUGUUGUUCCGAAAGAGAUUACCACUCAAAUCAAGUUCCUCUAAGUUUGUUAGCCUCAAUUGUGUUCCAUCUAUCAUUGGAAGAAAAUAAUAUCAUUCAAGAUAAAAAUAGUUAGGAAAAAUGAUUGUUUGAGAAGGAAGAGGCAAUUUACAAGCUUUCCCAUGAAUUGAUAACUACAUUUUACAAGUAAAACUUAAUUGAUUCAAUAUAUAAAUACUUUGUUUGAGAUACCUUCCUAUUUUGAAAUACUGCAACAUUAACUGUCCCUUAAACAAAAAUUGGUUUUAAAGUGAAAAAGAAACAUAUAAAAGCAGUCCACCUUUAAUAUGAAUUGACAUAUAAAUACUGUACUUAUACCUUGGUUUGAGAUGCUUUCAAAUUUCAAUUCUGUUCCAACUUAAAUCCAAGUAUUUCAAGUUUGUCAAAUUAUUCAAUCAUAAAAUUCAAUCCCAAAUAUUGAUUAGUUAUAUAUUCAUCGUAUGAUGAAAUCAAACUUGAAUAUACAUUGAUUUUUAAAGUUGAAAAGAAACAGGUAAAAUCAGUCUACCUUGAAUAUGAUCCAUCCUUCCUUUCAACUCAUUACCACUCAAUCUUAAAGUCUUCAAGGAUGAAAGAUUUCUCAUAUGGAACAAAAUGCUAUUCUUCAAAGAAUUCCAACUUAAAUCAAGAGUUUCCAAGUUAUUGAGUCUUGAAAGCAAUUGAAAACCUGAUAUAUAUACAUAAUUACUUGUUAAUUGUUUUUUUCUUUCUUUGCUAUAUGAAAAUUUUACUAAAGCAAUAGUGGAAUUACAACGGAUAAAAAGAAUGGAAAACUAGGUACCAAACCCAGAAGACCAUCCUCAAACUCCACUAUACAAAUAAAAACUAACACCAGACCAAACUUAAUUUACCUCUUAGAUGACUUGAUCCUUCUAAUUUGUUGUGUGAUAGAUCUAAAUACCGGAGAGAUGAAAGCUCACUCAAAGAUAACAAAAUGCUGUCAUUCAAGUAGUUUUCACUUAAGUCAAGGAUCUCCAAAUUACUCAACGUGGAUGAUAGUUUUCCAAAGCCUAUAGAAAUAUUCUUUUAAAUAUAUACAAGUUAGUGACUUUUCUUCCAUAAAAUAAAAUAAAAUAUAAGUAAUUGCAAAUUAACGAUGGUGAGAGUAGUGGAAUAAUAAAAGAUGUAAUUAAGGAAAAACUAGAGGCACGACCUUCAUUUUCAAGAUUACCACUUAUGGCAUUCCCCGACAAAUAAAGACUCUUCAAUUCCUCAAAGGGAAGAAACAUAGAGGCAUUGAGAUACCAGGCAUUGAGAUUCCUAUUAUCCAUGUCGUAUUCCCAUUUUGUAGAAUUAAGGGAGAGUUGUAUGAGUCUCCUAGUGGUGGUGUUACACUCAACUCUUUCCCAUUUACAACAAUCUGAACCCUUCACCUCAACCCAACUAUUCAAUUGAUUACCAUCAUUGAAGAAAGGUUUGAGAUGCAAGAGAGCGAUUCUCUCAUGCUCCAAACAAGCAUCAGUAGUACACCAUCUGCAUCCUUCUAACACCAACAACAUUACUGCCAUCCUAAUAAACCUUAACCAUUUCCACUUCAUCAUCAUCAUCAUCUCUCUGUUUUCACUUCUCUCUCAGCUAUAUGUUACUUUUUUUUAACUUCUAUAUGUAUAUAAUCUAAAGAAGCCUAAGCUUCUUAUUUAUAUACAAGCAGAUGCAUCCCACUAACUCACUAUAAUGUAAAAAUAAUAUAUAAUUAAUUAAUUCCUCAAAAAUUGGAUCAAAAUCUAGGCUUCUUAUUUACGUAAAUUAUUUAUUGCAAAAACUCUUAGUGGAAAUUCGUUAGGAAGGGAUGAAGGGGCCACAAGAAUAUUGAUGUUAAUCUUGAAAAACGAAUGGCCAAAAAAAUAUGAAAAGUGAGAGGUGGACAUAAAAUCGUAUAGUUGGGAUUGCAAAAGUCUUCAUGUGGCUUUCUUGUGAGUUUCAUUUAUACCCUUCUUACACUUAUACAAACUUAGUCUUGACUUGGCUUUAUUAAUGGAAAAUUUAGGUCUUCAUUUUUGGUUUUAUUCAUAGAAAUUUUACUUCUUUGAUUUUGGUUUUAUUAAUGGAAAUUUUAAGUCUUCAGUUUGCUUUUAUUCUUGCACAUUUUAGGUUUUGAUUUUGAAAAUUUAGUUUUUUCAUCUCUAUUAUUAUAAAAUUUCUUAAUUUAAUUAAUAUCAUGAGUUAAUUUAAUACUUUAAAAAAUAAAAUAUUACAUUCACUAUUUUUUAAAAAAUAAAAGUAACUAUAAAAUUUUAUUAUUUAUAUAAUAUUUAAAAAAAAACUAUUUAUUUCUACUAGACCACUACUUUAAAACUAUCCAUUAUCAUAUUGUAAUAGGCCCAAUUUGCCCGGGCCCGGUAAAUAAAUAAAACCAAUAAAAUCAAAUAAAAAAUAGUCCCAAAACAGUCCAUUUACAAUGACCCAAUACCAACCCAAUGGCCUAAAUCUCUACCCAAGCCCGAAUCUAAACCUAAACAGGCCCAAAACCCACUAAACCUAAUGGCCCAAUACCCAGCUUGGCUGAGACAAACCCUAGCCUUCAGCAGCUUUCUGCUCUUGCGCUGCAGCCAAGCCGCUCCUCACGUACGAGCCUCAUUCAUGCGCCGCACCGAGCAACGCCAUCGCCAGGGACCACGCCUGUACUGUGCCACGCGAGCCUCCGUACAUGCGCGCCCGUUCACCUCUGUACCAGUACCUGCAAAUACACACAAGAAGCAGCGAAGCAACAAAAAAAAAGAGAAAAUAGCAGUAGAAAAAUAGGGGAUUUUCAGUUUUUAUUUGAUUUUUCUGGCUAUAAAAGCCAAACACGCAGAUUGUAUCAUAGGGGGAACUCACGCAUAUUGCAAAAAAACAAGGGGCAGAAAAUCAAUACAAAAAAAAAAAGAAAAGGUUUUCUCUUCCUUCAGGUCUCUUUUCUUCUCCAAUUGUUUCUUUUCUUUUUCGAUUGUUAUUAGCCUCAUAUAAGUAUAGAUAUAUAUAGAGUAAAUAAUAACAAAAAGGGGGGGUUAAAACGUACCUGGUGAUGCCUUUGAAUCCACGCGAAGAAGCCAAAAAGCCUUGAAUGGUGAGGCUCCGACCACCAUUCGCAGUGGAAUCAAGGCGGAGGGGCGGACUGACGGCACUGAAGACUAGGGUGAAACCCUAGCAGAGGAAACAAUAAGCAAUUUUUUUUAAAAACGAGUCUGCUAAUGUUUUUUUUAGGGUAAAUUUUGUUUAAAUAAUGAUACAAUACGGAGCCGUUUUGGGCUAGGGUUCCUAGCGUCCAAACGACGUCGUUUAGAGGCCUUACCCAAUGACCCGAUCCAGAUGGCGGCUAGAUCCGCGUGUUUGGUAGGGGGAGGGGAAAUUUCGCGAAGAGUCCCUCUUGUUUUGUGCCGUUUCGGUUUGAUUUUCUUCAUUGUUUUUAAUUUGAAUCGCGUAUUUUAUUUUGUUUUCAAUUUGAUCCACAGUUAAACGGCGCCGUUUUCACUAAUCGGAUUUGAGCAUCCGAACAUUUGUGUUUAUUUUCUGUUUUAGUCCUCUCUGUUAUUUUUUAUUAUGAUUUUUACCCUCCUAUUUUAUUUUCACCCUAAUUUAGUCCCGAAACUGUUAGAUUUCACUUUAUUUAUGCAAUGUAUAUAUUUAUUUAUUUUAAACUUUAUAUUAUUUAUUUUAAAUCGUUCUAUUACUAUUUAUUUUAAGCCUUUUUUACAUAUUAUAUGUUUUAAAUUAUGUUAAUCAAUUAUUCAUUUUAAAUAUAUAUUAUUUAUGUUAAACUACAAAUGUAUAUUAUUUAUUUGGAAUUGUUCUUAUGCACAUCAUGCAUUAUCAUUUUUAAAAAAAUAAUAAUAAUAGAAUUUGUUUGCAUAUUGUUCAUUUAGGAUUCCUUCUCACACAUUACUUAUUUUAAACGUUUUACAUAUUAUUUUAAAUUGUUUUAUAUGUUUUUUUUUAAAUGCUUUGAAGAUUAUUCAUUUUAACUUGUUUUACACAUUAUUUUAAUAUGUAUGGAAUUGCUUUAAUAUAUAUAUACGUGAAUAAAACGUAUUGUAACUGGUAAUUUCUAAAAUUUUAUUCUACGUUUUAAAAUUUUUAUCAUUUCGAUUAUGUUGAUUGGUUUACUUGGGAUUAAAUUAUUAUUGCAUUGAUUAUUCUUUUUUUUGAUUUUUUUGUUAGAUUGAUUAUUAGUUUAUUUGAUUAUCAAUGUUGAUGUAUUAUAUGUUUGGUUGCUCCAAAUUGUAAAUUUAGCUUGCUAUUCACCAUUUGAUUAGUAUAUUGAUAUUUUAUUAUAUUGUUUGUAAAAAUUGCAUUUCAUUAAAGCAUUACAAUUGUUUUAUUUCAAAAUUCUCAAAAAGCUUGGUAUUUAAAAAUUCUCGAGAGGAUUGUGCCCUAACUUACUGGGCUUACCUUUUUUAAUUUGAACAUAGAAGUUUCAAAAUAAAAGCUCAUUCUCGGGAAUUUGACACGUUGUGUCCUAACGCAUUGAAUAUGACUAUUAUUUUCUCGAGAUGAGGAUUUUAAGGCAAUGUUCGAUAUUUAGGAAUUUUGUGAAAUCGAACCCUAACUUACUGGGUUUUGAUUUUCUCAUUUGACCCAGAUAAUCGGACAUCCUCCUCAAAAUGCAUAGGUUUUAAAAGACGAGAGAUAAACUUAACUUGGAGGACUUAAAAUGUUGCACUCUAACUUACUAAGGGUGACGAUUUAUUUCUUUGAAAUAAGUGAGUCUCGUCGUCCAAUUCAUUUUAUUCAAAAUAAAAGGAUCAAAUUUUAAAAUCUUUUCAAAAUUUUGACAUUAAGACAUUAAACAUUCCAAUCGGUACCAAUUUUGGGCGUCACGAGGGUGCUAACCCUUCCUCGUGCGUAACCAACUCCCGAACCCGUUUUCUCAAAAAUUCGCAGACCUAAAAUUAUUUUCAAGGUGAUCCGCACACCACAAUAAAAGAUCGGUGGCGACUCCAUUUCCAUUUUCAAAAUUGAUCCCCAUUUUUCAAAUUACAAAAAAAUGGCUUCGACACAUAUAACUUCUCUUUAAUAAUUCACUAUUCUUUGAACAUUCAUUAGUUUUUGAAACAUAAAAUUUAUAAAUAAUUAUUUUUAGAGUAAACUACACCCAUGGUCACUUUUGUUUACCUUAGGUUACAUUUCAGUCACUUAUGUUUGAAAUGUUACGUUUUAGUCACUUAAGUUAUUGUGUUGUAACAUUUUAGUCACUGAGCCGUUAGUUGUCGUUAAUGGCUGACGUGGCACGUUAAAUUAUCAUUUCAAACAAAAACUUUAGGUUAAAUUAUACAAUUGGUUUCCAUAAUUUUUCGUUUUGAGCAAUUUAAUUCUUUUAUGCUCUUUAACUUUCUUUCUUUUUUUUCUUUAUUUUCCAUUCUCUUCUGCUUCUCCCUGUUUUCCUACAUUCUUUAUUUCUUUUAACAUAUCAGGAAGUCGAAUUGGUAGUGAAGAAAGAAGCAUGGUAUGGGUUUAUGGGCUUUGGUUAUGGGCAAAUGAUGACAGUCGACUUCCUACUUCUUUUUUCACUGUCAAUUCGACUUCCUAAUAUGUUAAAAGAAAUGGGAAAAGUAUGAAAACAGAGAGAGAAACAAAAAAGAAUGGAAAAAAAGAGGAAAGUUUAAAGAACAUAAAAGAAAAAAAAUUAAAUUACUUAAAACGAAAAAAAUAUGGGGAUCAAUUGUAUAAUUUAACCUAAAAUUUUGUUUGAAAUGAUGAUUUAACGUGCCACGUCAGCUUACCGUUACACCAUUAACGACGAUUAAUCGCUCAGUGACUAAAAUUUUACAACAUGAUAACAUAAAUGACUAAAACGUAACAUUUUAAACAUAAGUGACUAAAACGUAACCUAAGGUAAAUAAAAGUGACCAUGGGUGUAGUUUACCCUUAUUUUUAAUAUGACUUGAUUUUUACUUGAAUCAUUUUUGUAAUUAGUUAAUUAAAUUGGGUUAUUUUAAAAAAAUCCUCUUAACUAAUAGCCAAAAAAAAAAAAGCCAUCAUGUAGAAAAUUCUGGUUUGUUGGAAAAAUAAAGACUUGACCUAUUACUUUAGAUUUUGAAAUGUUCAACUUGAUAUUGACAUAUGAUAAUAUGUACAAAUUUCUCAUUCUUUUAAAUUUCAGUGAUAUUACAUGUAUGAUAAUAUGUUUGCCACACCAAAUUUGAAAAUAGUAGAACUUAAUGAAUUUAACAGAUAUCUAAAAUAUCAAAUUAAAGUCUAGGAAUUAAAGCUACAACAUCAGUAAAGUACAAGAACUAUGGUAGAAUUAAACCUUUAUAUAAUAAUUUCCUUCUAUGAACCACAAUUCAAGUGCACCCGACAAGCUAAUUAAUAAAAAUUUAGUGGUAGAAUAUGUAUAUUCUUGUGGGUGGAAAUUUAGUGGAGAUGCCCAUCAUCUUUCCUAAUUAAUAAAAAUGAAGACUUAGAAAAUGUGCAAUCAUAAUCCUAGUUGUCGUUAUGGCCCCAAGAAUAGGUAUAUUAAUUUGUCUCUCUUCAGGAUCAAAGAUAAAUAAUAAAUUUUAUAAAGUUAAAACCAUAAUUCUAUAAUUAUAUUAAUGUAUAAUUUCAUAAAAUUUUAAAAAAUGUAUCUUUCAACUUUUUUAAGUAAAUUGAUAAUUCGUUAACUCAUAAUAUUUUUUUUUUCAAAAUAUUUAUGAGAACGAGUUCGUAUUCUAUUGUGUGGAAAAUUUUAGUACAGAUAUUGGUGAAGCCAAAUCCAACUUGUUUGACCAAGAAAGUCUCUGUCGUGUGGAAAAUUUUAGUUUUGUGGAAAAUGGACAUUACCAUUUCCUUGAAUGACCAUCAAUUUCUCCAUUGAGAUAUAGUAAGAGGGAGUGAAAUAUAUAUAAGGUAAUAUUUAAUGUAUUCACACCAAAUUUCAUUAAUGAGUAAAACAAAUAAUGAAUAAUAAUGAAAAUUGGAGGAAAUUGUUAAGAAAAUAUCAUUACAUAUAUCAACACUCACAUAAUUCAUUGUAUUAACUUUCAAAUGUUGACUAUUGACUUCUACAUCAACCUUGAGCUUAUAUAGGCCCCCCUCACGGAAAUAAUCUCACAUUUAAUGCCUAGAGGUGCUUAUGGGCCGGGCCGGGCCCAGAAAAAAUUUUAGCCCGGGCCCGGCUCGGCCCGAAAUAUGGGCCUGAAAUUUUGCCCAAGCCCGGCCCGGUAAAAAAUUCAUAAGCCCGAGCCCGGCCAUUUUUUAAAUAAAUACCAAAAAUUUAUUUUAAAAUUAAAAAAAUUUAAAAAAAGUAUUUUAAAAAUAUUUUAAAUAAAUACCAAAAAUUCACCCUGCAUCUAAAAGGAGGUCCAGCACUCGAAUCCCAUUCCCCAUAACUAAAAACCAUGUCACUGUGACUUGGUCAUAUCUCCGUUCAAAGUCGGACAUGGGUAGUUAAAGAAAAAUGAAGAGUCGAUGCAUGAUAGACUAAGGACUAGCUCAAAAGUGCUUUUAGAAAAAAUUGCUCUUGAAAAGAGGUGUGGAAAAGUGUGCUUGUUAGUUUUUAGUGUUGUUCAUUGCUGCCAAAAAUCGCAAUUGAAAGUUAAAAUGUUCUUUUUAGACAUGAUAGUAGAAAGUAAAAAAUUAGUCAAGUCAUAUGAUUUUUAAAUAAUUUAAUAUAAUGAUACAUGAAAUAUAACUUUUAAAUACCUUUUAAGUAAUUAAUAUAAAUUAGUUGUAAAAUUGAUAAUAUAUAAAAUAUUUUGAAAAAAAUAAAUAUAAUAAUAAAUAAGAUUUAAACAAUUUAAUAUAAUAAUAUAUAAAAUAUAAAUUAAUCUAAUUUUUAUAUACCUUUUAAAUAGUUAAUGAAAAUAAUAGUAUUUUGAUAAUUUUCCCUUUGAAAUGCAAAAGCCAAAAACAGUUUUUGACUACAAAAGCUAUGUGUUGUUCAUCACUUCUGCAGUGGAAAAACACUUCUCCAUGGUGUAAAAACACUUUUACCCAAAAAGGCUUUUUCACCACAGUAGAGAAUGCACCCUAAAAUUGUAAAUAGAAAAAGGAAGAACCAAACAUUGUUUCUACCCUGUUUUUGUCUCCUCUUUGAAAAUACUUUCCAAAAGUUUUAUCAUUUUUUUUUCUGUUUACGAUGCCUUAAAUGCAAAUUCCUUAUAGAAGUGCUUUCUUUUGAUCCACUUGCAUCAUUGUAAUAAGUUUGCAUUGCCUUCUUUCUAUGUUGAUUAUCGUUUAUUAAGUUUUCUGUUGGAUCUUAUAGUCAAAUUCCUUUACAUCAUGUAUGUUAAUUUGCUUAGCCCUGAUAAAUGUUAGAUAUAGGGUUAUCAGCUAAUUAGGAAAGACUGUAAUGAUAGUCACACCUUACAUCCAAAUUUUUACAUUGAGGUUCCUUAUUAUUUUUUCUUGUUUCACCAAUUGCAUCCUAUUUACAGUUCCUUAGCGUUAUCCACUGUGCUAGGGUGGUUCUUGUUCAUAUAUUAAUCACCAUGCGCCUUCAGCAAAUGCAAAGCCAGCCAGCAUCUUCUGAUUUGUCAUUGGAUACUACACUUUCAGCAAAUGUAAAGCCGCCAGAUUUUCAGCUGUUUUUAGAAGGUCAAGACACAACAAGAGCAACAUAUGUUGUAUUCUUGUCAAACAAGAUAAGUUUUCGCAUAUUAACGAUUCUUUUUCCAAGAUGAAUUAUUCUCCUGUUGCAUUUUUAUUUGGGUUCAAAUGUUCUGUGAAGUUAGCUUGCCAGUGCUUGUUUGUUCAUCAGCAUUUACAGCUCAUUUGUCAUUGGUCAGCAGAAUUUCCGCUGUUUUUAGAAGGUCAAGACACAACAAGAUCAGCAUAUGUUGUAUCUAACAUUUAUAUUCAACAACUGGAAACCAUGUCAUAAAUACAUAUGAAAAAUAUUUAAAAAUCCUUGGUUGAAUACUCGUGCACUAACAUUUUUUAAAAGUUAAUUUUGUGUUACUUUUUUCAUCUCUAUUAUUAUAAAAUUUCCUGAUUUACUUGAUAUCACGACUUAAUUUAGCAUUUAAAAAAUGGAAUAUUACAUUCACUAUUUUUUUAAAAAUAGGAGUAACUAUCAAAAUUAAUUAUUUAUAUAAUCUUUUUUAUAAAAACUAUUUAUUUCUACUAAACCACUACUUUAAAACUACCCAUUAUCAUACAACUUCUCUUUAAUAAUUCACUAUUCUUUCAAACAUUCAUUAGUUUUUCAAACAUAAAAUUUAUAAAUAAUUAUUUUUACCUACAUUUUGAAUGAUGCAAUUUCUAACUAUACACUAAAAUACUCCAUUUAUCAAUUUAAUUUAAUUCAAAGAAUUAUGAUAAUAAUUGAAAUUUCAAAAAAGGAAAAAAACUAGAUAAUUGAAUAUUUAUAUACAAAAAUAAAACAAACAAGACAGACUUAAGCUUUCUUACCCCAAAGACAAGAUCUUUAUUCAAAAUGCAAAACUAGCAAAAUACUCCCUAAAAUUCAUCUAAACACAUCUUCUAAAGAUGUAAUACCCAAGAAGAUUGCCCACAGUUGGUGAUGCACUUCCCAACGAAAGAAAACCAAACUCCUCGCCAAUAUGGAUUUAUGUAAAGGAUAGCAACAAUUGUUAACAACAUAACUACAUAAGAAGCCAAAAAGCUCACACAAAAAACAUAUGUGUCUAGAAAACUAUCUUCUCUUUCAUCAUCUGAUAUUGUUGAUAUUGAACCGGUUUUGGAGCAACUUAUAUGAAGUAUAGGUCCACAGAGAAAAGGGUUCCCCUCGUAACUGCUUUCAAUGAAAGUCCCAAAUUGGUUUUGUUCUGGAAUACUACCUGACAAGUUGUUGUGUGCAACACUGAAAACCCCCAGAGAGUUCAAAUCUACCAGCUGGUUUGGGAUUUCACCACUCAAGUUGUUGUAAGAAAGAUCCAAACUCUCAAUCUGCUUAAGUUUUGAGAAUGAUGAAGGUAUAACUCCGACCAACUUAUUGCGUGACAAGUUCAAAGAAUGGAUUUCACGCAAGUUCCCUAAUUCAAGUGGGAUUUGACCAGUUAACUCAUUGCAAGAUAAAUCAAUCCCAGACAUGUAUUCAAGGAUGUCGCCUCCAUAUGAGAAAGAUCCACUCUUUGUGGUAAACUCUACCGAUUCUUUCAUGUAGCUAUAGGAAUGCAUCAUGUGCUCGAAAAGUAUACCCGUCUUUAAUAGUUUCAAUUCAUCCAGUUCUGAAAAUGUUGGCGACAUUAAAUCUGGUGUCAUGGUCUUAUCCUUAUUCAUUGGAAGAGUUAAAUUUCCCAAACAAGAAGGUAUAGGACCGGAAAACCUAUUUUGAGAAAGAUCUAUAAUGCUCAAGGAAUACAAGGUGCAUAACUGGACUGGAAUUCUUCCCUGUAAAUGAUUAGCUUUCAAGAGAAGGACACUCAAAGAAGAAAGUGUGUCGAUCCAUUUUGGAAUACCACCAGUAAAAUUGUUUCCUCUAAGAUCUAAUGUCACUAGUGAAGUGCUUUUAUUAAAAGCAAGUGACAAUGGACCACCCAGUCUAUUAUUGUGCAGGUGGACAUGCUCUAGGUUUGGAGGAUUAAAACAAGAUGGUAUAGAGCCAGAUAAAUUAUUUUCAGAAAGAUCCAAAAAUUUGAAGUUAUUCAAGUUGCAAAAUUCCACUGGAAUAGAACCCUCGACACCAUUGUUAGACAAGUCUAAUCUCUCCAAAAGUGACAUAUUCCCUAUCCAUCUUGGAAGCUUUCCAUGCAAUCUGUUGUUACUGAGAUCAAUAUCUGUUAGUGAUGUUGGAAACUGAAAAGUAGAGACAUCAAAAUUUGUCAUCUCUCCAGAAAAAUUAUUUCCAUCCAAAUAUAAUUUUUGUAACCCAUUUGCAUUGAGAAUCACAGGAACUACAUUUCCAUUGAGGUUGUUGUUUGACAGUCUCAAAAGAAAUAGUGAGCUUUUCCUGACCAACUCUUGAGGUACUUUUCCAGCCAAUUGAUUGUUUGAUAGAUCUAACAUUGACAAAUUCUUCAUGGCGCUUAAACAAGGAGGGAUAUUGCCUUGAAAGGCAUUCUUGGAUAAGAAUAACUGCUCCAAAUGUGGAAAAGUUGAACAUAUAUUGGUUGGAAGCGGACCUUGUAUUUUGUUGUCAGACAUGUCGAUUGAAGAUACAUUUGAAUUAGGAGUCGACAGUAAUGUGAGAGGACCUGUAAAAGAAUUACCCUUCAAGAUGAGAUCUUCUAACUUUGUGUUGUUUUCUAACAACCAAAAUGGGACAGUUCCACUGAAAUUGUUCUGAGAAAGAUCCACAAAUCUCAAGUCAUUUUGGUAGUAAAGGAAGGUAGGAAGUUCAAGACUGAGUUGUUGAGAUGUUCUGCACUUGGACAAACUAAUGAAUUUCAAUUGGAAUUUCGGGACUAAGGUGUGGAAGGAAGGUUCCAUUUCCAACUUGUUUUCAUCAGCCAAGAGGACCUCAAGGUUUGGAAAGUUUGCAAGUGGUACGAAUGAAAUUGGAAUUUGAAAAUGAUUACUUGAAAGAGAAAUGGCUCUGAGUGAUGUAAGACUUGCUAAAGGAGUUAGAUUUCCGGAAAAUCGAUUGUUGGAGAUAUCUAACUCACGAAGAGAUGUCAAGUUACUGAAACAAUGAGGAAGCAUCCCCUCAAGUGCAUUCCAACUCACAUCCAACACUUCAAGGUUCCUUAGAUCACACCAUCCUGAAAAAUUUAUGAAAUCAUGGAAGAAUUUCUAAUUAAAUUUGGUUUUCUAAAACAGAAUAGGAGAAAUCAGAUAAAGAAAAGGUCGUAUAGAAAAUUUUACCGUGAUCAGGUAAGGAACCAAUAAGUGCACACCUAUAUAGAGACAAAGUUUGAAGAGAAGUGAAUACUCCAAUGCUUUGCAAAAUGUUGAUGUUGAGACGAGAAUAAUCGAGAUUUAUUUCCUCCAAGUUGCUUAAUUCUAAUCAAUGAAAAGAGGUAGUAGGUGUUAAUGAAACGUAAGUUGUUUUGGAAUAGAAGAAGUAUUAGAUGUUAAUCAAGAAAAGGUGUUUACCUGAUGAGAAAGCCUCUACUAAGUUUUCUAGCGGAAUGCUAUCGUCGGUGACAAUACUUUGGAGACGAAGAACUUUUAACUUUUUCAAUCCCUUGUUUUCUGUGAGCGAAAAUAUUUUGAUAAAAAUUGUGAAAACUUCAACAUGAUUGCACUAAUUGUUUUUCUUUUCUUUCUAGCAUUUUAAGAUAAAUAAUGUGUAAAAUAGAAUUUUCCUUUAUUGAGAUCAUUAUAUUACUUUAAAUUUAUCACCACUAAAUAGAAAAUUAUUAUUAAAUCAAAGUUUUAAAUUUAUUAUUACUUAAAUGUUGUUUAUGCUGGGUGAUUUUGAUGAGAAUAAUUUAUUAUAUAAAAAUAAAAGUAUAUUUCUUAAAGUAAAAUAAGAGAAAUAUUUUAAAUUUUUUUGAAAGUGUUUAUAUACAUAUUACACUUAAUCACUCUUUUGAAAAUUCUAAUUACUCUUUUAAAUUUUAUGUUAAUUUUAAAAAGUAUAUAUAAUUUCAACAGAAAUAUUACUUUAAUAUUAAAAUGAAGAGCUUUUGUGGGUAAAAAAAAUUAUAUGAGUUUAUUUAAUUACAAAAAUAAUUUAAGAAUUUAUUUAAAAAAUAUGUAGUUGUUUUAGGCUCGAUCCUAGGGGUUAUUUGAGAGUGCGGUCGCCCAGGGCUGGAAGGGGCCCAAUUUUUUUUUCAGAUUUUAAUAUGGGAAAAUAUUCAGACUAAAAUAAAUAAAUAAAUUGCCUAGAGCUUUCAAAUUUUCACCAUAAAUACUUCAUCUCCUAUGGCUAAAAAAUUUUUCAGCUUUUAUUGUAUUACAUUUUAUAAUAUUUUUAAAAAGACUCGUUUAAAGACUUUUUUAAGUAUAUUAACCUAUUUUAAAAUUCCACAUUUUUAAAAUGUCUUAAUUUUCAAAUUAAAGUACAAACACACUAUAAUCCACAAGCCUUAAUUGCCAUGUCAACAUAAACCACCAUUUAGAAGAUUGUUUUCAUUUUUUAAAAAAUAAAAAAAAAUUAUUUAAAUGAUACCUUUGUGGACCACAAAGCCUCUCAAUUGAUUCCCACUCAUAUCUAGUUUCUGUAAGUUAGUAAAUGCAUCCAAAUCUGGGAAAGAAACAGAUAAGCUUCAUUAAAUCAUUCCAAAACAUGAUUAAUAUUUUUGUCUAUAGAGGCAUAAUUUGUCAAAAAAUAAUAAUUUUACCUUUCAUAUCUAUUAAUCCAUUCAAUUGAUUGAAACCUAUGCUCAAAGAUUUCAGAUUUGAAAGCUUGUUUAGAGUUGCAAAUACACUGUUAUUGAAGAGAUUUGCUUCUAAAUUAAGCUCUUCUAAAUGGGUUAACUCCAAUUUCUUACCUUCAUCUACAAAAGAUUUAACGUAAUUUCAUCAAUGAAAAAAAUGAUAUAAAUUUAAUUAUGUGUAAUAAAUUAUUUAACUGAACCCUAAAUUGUGGGUUAAUGGUUCAAGUGUUCGAAUUAUCAUUGUGUAAAAAAAACAAACUUAAUUAACGGACCAAAAUAUAAAUACAUACCUUUGAAGGAUUGAAAGUUUACCAUUUGAUUCCACCUUAAAUCCAACGUCUUCAAAAUUUUCAAAUUAUUCAAUCCUAUAUAUACUCAAGUUGAACAAAUAUUUUAAUAACUUGGCUGAAGUGAAAAGGGUAAAAGUAAGGAAGUUGAAAAAUCCCCAAAAGUGAAAGUACUAAUUUGAAACAAAUAAUUAUAAAGGGUCCUACAUAAGUAAGGACUUUAUGCUUGAAAGCCUUCAAGGAAGGAAAAUGUGUGGUUUCCAUGGGAUCUAAUUAUAAUCCUUGUUUGCUGGAUUCCACCUUUUUUAUUUGGCCAACAAAAAAUAAAUAAAUAAUAUAAAAAAAUUGUGAUUACUAAGGCUUCAACCUUGAAGUUUAAAUAGAAUUAUUCAAUCCCAAAAAUUGACCAAAAAUUUCCCUCAAACAAAACUUAACUUUAAAGUAGAAACAAAACCAGAGAAAGGCAAUCUACCUUGAAUAUGAGGCCACUUUCCUUCUAAUAGGUUGUAAGCUAGAUUUAAAUAUUGGAGAGAUGAAAAUUGGCUCAAAGAUAAUAUAAAGCUAUCAUUCAGAUGAUUUUGACUUAAGUCAAGGAACUGCAGAUUUCUGAAUGUGGAUGAUAGCUUUUCAAAACCUGCAGAGUUAAUAAUAACAAGUAAUCGCAAAAUUAACAGUAAGUUGUGUUGAAAAUAUGUGUACAUAAUAGAGUAACUAAAGAUGAAAUGAAGGGCAAAUCAAAUAUAGAACCUUCAUUUUCAACACAACCGGCUAUGCCACUCCCUGUCAAAUAAAGCCUCUUUAAUUCCUUGAAGGGAAGAAACAAAGAGGCAUUCAGAUACCAAUAAUCCAAGUAUCCGGACCUCAUAGAAUCAAGAGAGAGUCCAAUGAGUCUCCCAGUGGUGGUGUUGCACUCAAUCCCUUUCCAUUUACAACAAUCUGAACCUUUAACCUCGUCCCAGCUGUCGAACUCAUUAUAGUGAUUGAAGAAAGGUUUGAGUUGCAAGAGAGCAACUCUCUCAUGCUCCACACAAGCAUCAAUAGUGCACCACCUGCAUCCUUCUAACAGUAGCAGCACACUCAUCACUGCCAUCCUCAUAAACCACAACCAUUUGGAGUCCAUCAUCUCUCUGUUUUUGCUUCUCUCUCAAUUGUAUGCUACUUCAAACUUCUAUUGCAUUAGCCUUCAUGAAACUUGUUAUUUAAAGACAAGGACCUAAGGCUGAAGGCAACCCACUAGUCCACGCUGAAAUAGUCCACUGAAUGUGACGAUAUAUAGGCCCUACAAAGUGUGGUUGUGGAAAUAAUCUAAACACCUAUCCUCCAAAUUAAUACUAUUCCUUGAGAAAUUAUUAAAGGUCAAUUUCUGGUUUUAGUCCCUACGCAAAAUUCAUUUUGAAGGUUUAGUUUUUAUAUAAUUUAAGAUCAAAUUUUUAUAAUUAAAUUAUCAUUUACGUCUGCUUUAAAAUUAUGAAAAAAAUAUUUUAAAAAUAUAACGAACUCCAGCUACAGCUUCAAAAUAUGAUGAAGAUGUUUUAGUAGAAUAAAUCGCAGAAUCCGCCAUCUUUGACUUUUGUUUUCUUAUUGUGAGAAUAUCUUAACAUUAUAACUUUUGAAUAUAUUUUGUUAUUUCAGUUAUUAAUUUAGAUCAUAUACAAAUUUCUUUCGUGAUAGUCUCAUUUAGAUUUGAAGUUUGUUGUUGGAUUUGAAGUUACAGGAAAAUAUGUUGAAAAUUUGGGUUUAAUAUUAAAUAAAAUGGGUUGGUAAAAUCUAUUAAUGUUAGUGGCGUUUUCCCACAAAUGCCACUAUAGAACAUGAUCUUUAGCUGCGCUUUUACUACAAACAUUGCUAAAAAACAUGAUUUUUUGUGGUACUUCUAGCUAUAAAUGCCACAACAUGCUUGACUCUUUUAUAGUGUUUUUCCAAAUGAACGCCGCAAAUUUUAGCGGCGCUAUCUAAAGCGACUUUUUACUGGCACUUAUCAAAGCGCCGCAAUCUGUUUUAGCGGCACUUAUAAGCACCGCCAUAGGGCCAAAAAAACACCGCUAAAAACCUAUUUUGCUGUAGUGAUUUACGCAUUUAUAAGCCUACAAAAUAAUCACGGAUUCAAUUUUAGAGUCCGUUAUCAGCCCCUAAUCGGGACAUCAAAUUGACCAAAAAGGGCCCACAUGACCUACCUGUUCAACUUGUGUAAUUGCACACGCCUAAGUGCUCCACACGGCCUGGCACACGGCCAACUACACAUCAAUGUGGUGCACAUGAACUUGUGACGCAGAGUAGCUUUGAAAAUUGUAACCUCCCAAACCCGGCCUAGAUGUUAUGACUAGAUUGAGAAGGCUACAAUAGCCACCGAAAUGGCUAAGCUAACUUACGUUACUUUUGAAGACCUUAAAUAAACUCAUUUUAGAGAAAACCGUAGUUGUACUUUGAGUUAGCUUAAAAGCAUUCAUUCAUUAGGUCGUGUAUACUUAGGAUUCAUUUUAUUGUUGAUAGUGUUGUUUUACAAAAAUAGUUUGCUUAUCGCUCUUCUUUUAAAAAAAACUCGAUGGUAAACUAAUGUGCGGAAAAACCAUUUUUCAAGUCAUUUUGGAAACUUAGUUGCCUUAACGAUUUGUUUUUCAGAAACAAUUCCUUUUUAAUGCAGCGGAAACUAGGGAACAAUAUCAAAUUUUACUUAAGCUCGAUAUCAUGCAUUAUUCAGUUAUUAUGCUUGAGUAAUCCAUGCAUGCAAAAAUCCCAAAAGAAAAGUUACUAAGCCACAAACCACAAGUCAUUAAAAAUUACAAACCAAAACUAAUAGAAUCUGAUUAAUACUUUUUAAAAAUAGUCCGAGGUCCAAGGUGAUUCUUCGAAUGCCAAGUCCGAUCCUAAUUUUGAGGUUUACACAUUCAUUUGACAUACUCAGCACGUCCUCAAUAAUCACAUACUUUUAGUAAAUGAAAACAAUGUUCCAAACUUUCAAAUUACCAUUGUGUUGGUAUUAAUCAAUAUCGUUCAAUUUCGCAUACUUUAUGAAUUUUGAUUAUGCAUAAAUAGCACCCUAUACAACAUAUAUGUAUAUAAUAUAUGCCAAGAAAAUUUAGAAAUACAAUAAAUCAACCUAAAUGAAAUCAUUCAUCAUCAUUUUUCAAGAUUUUAAAUUAUAUUUUCUCAUUCCCAUUGUCAGUGUAUUUCAACUUGUAAACAAAGAUGAUGGCUACUAUAAAUGGAAUCAUUGAUAUAUCAUGAUAUUUGAAUUUGACAACUAUUUUUAUACAUUUUAUUACCAAAAGUAAGGGUAUUAAUUUUUUAAUGUUUAAUUGUGGUUUAGAGUUAAUUUAUUUAAAGUUAAUUGUUAAUAUUAUUAAAUUCAAAUUUUCGUAAUUGUAUUAAUAGAAUAAAUUUAGUGUUAAAAGUGAGUUUAUUCAAUUUUAUAUUUAAUUUGUUAAAUGUAAUCUAAUGAUUUUUUUGUGCUCUAGUGUUGAUUUAAUUAAAGUUAAUUAUUAAUAUUAUUAGGUAACUAUGAGUUCUCAUCAAAUUAAUCCUAAAAUUCAAAUUAAAUGCUAAAAAAUUAACAUUAUUACUUUUAAAUAUCAAAAUGUAUAAAUUUUAUUAAAUAUAGAUACUAAAUCAAACAAAAAUUAUAAAUUUUGAGUCGUUGCAAAUUUUUCCAACAUUUUUGGGGUCUUGAAUUUGAUAUGCAAAAAGUUGGUGGGAAUUUUAAGUCAGCAAAUCCUUUAAAAGGGCAAUGACAUAAUUAAUUGCAUUACUUUAAUGGUUGAAUUUUCAUAGCUAAUAUGUAUGCAAAAAGUUGGUGUGAAUUUUAAGUCAGCAAAUCCUUUAAAAGGACAAUGACAUAAUUAAUUGCAUUACUUUUCAAAGAUCGACUACUGACUUUGGUGAACUUAUUUAUAGAAGGUUAAAUUCUGCUGUUGGUCACUGUACUUUACGAAAGUUGUGAAUUUAGUCUCUAAACUUCAAUUUGAUCAAUUUUAGUCUCUAUACCUUUUGAAUUUUGAAAUUUUAGUUCUAACCCAAACAGUAGCAGUUAUCAAUUUGAUUAAAUUCUAUUACUAUCGAUUUAGUCCAAACUUUCUGAAUUUUGAAAUUUUAGUCUUGAUGCAAAUGACAAUCACUGGUCUAUUAAUUGGAUUUUUAGUAAAUAAUAUGUGAAAAUAACAAGUUUGUUGACACCAUUUUUUUGAUAAAAAUGGGGUCGACUUAGAUUUUGAAAAUAAAAACGAAAAUGGGAGUCGCCACCGAUCCUUUUUGAUAAGGUGUGAUCGGGUCACCUCAAAAAGUGAUUGUUUUUAAUAAGCGAUUUGAUUUUAUUAAAACAACGAUUUUAGUCCACGAAAUUUAAAAAAAUGGGUUCGGGAGUCGGUUACGUUCAAGGAAGGAUUAGCACCCUCGUAACGCCCAAAAUUGGUACCUAGUUGAUUAAUUAAUAUCUUAAUGUCGAGAAUUGAAAACUCGAAAAGAAUUUAAAAUACAAUCAUUCCUUUUUAUUAAUGUUAAAUUUAUAAACGAUGCUUGGAUAAAUCGAGGUGGAUGCUAAAGACCUUCUUGUCUCAGAGUAAAUAAAAUGUCAAUCCAGUACGUUAGGACACAACAUUUUAAAUCCUCGAGAACAAGCUUAUCUUUUUAUUUUCAAAACUCGUGCAUUUAAAUUUCAAAAGGAUAUUCGAUUAUUUGGAUCAAAGGAGAUAAAUCGAAACCCAGUGAGUUAGGGCACGAUCAUUCAAAUUUCCCAAAUACAGAAUAUCACUUUUAUUAUUUUUUUAGGAAAAUCCUCAUCUCGGGAAAACAACAUGUCAUAUCCAAUGCGUUAGGACACAACGUAUUAGAACCCAAUACGUUAGGGCUCAAUCUUCUCGAAGAUCCAAAAUACCGAGUAUUACCCUUAUUUUCAAAAUUUUCUCUUUAUUACGAAUUUGAGUAAAAAUUGUAAAUGACAGAAUAACAAUUAUGAUAAUGUAAAUAAAUAAAUAAAUGAAUAGAAUGAAAAAAAGUAAAAAAGACAUAUAUGUAUGUGCAUAUAUAUAUAUAUAAAUUAUAAAAAAUAUAUAUGAUAUUAUAAAAAUGUAUGCAUGUAUAUAUAUUAAAAGUAUAUGUAUAUGUGUAUUUCGAAAGUAUAAAGUAUAUAAGAUAUAUAUAUGUAUAUGUUUAUAAAUUAUAAAAUAUAAAACAUAUAAGUACGUAUAUAUAUAUAAAUGAAUCAUGAAAUGCACGUGUAUAUAUGUAUAUAUUAGAAAAUGUAUGAAUAUAUAACAAAAUUUGGAAUUAAGGAUGUAAAUGAGUGAAUAAUAAUAACAAUGAAUUAAAAUACAAAAUCAAUGAUGCCAUACAAUAGUAUUAAUAAUAUCAAAAUAAUUAAUUUAAUGAUAAAAUAACUAAAACAACAAAUAGAGGAUUAAAUUAGAAACUAAACUAAAAUUUGGGGUCAAAUAAAAAUAACUUAAAGAGGGUGACUCGGGACUAAAACAAAAUGCGCUGAAGGAGCAAGGGACUUCCAGGGAAAUAUUCCCUAGUCCUGAAACGCAGCACUUCAGCAAGGAUUAAAAUGAAAUCAGAAAAAAAUUUAUGGGCCAAAAUGAAAGAAACAAAAGGGACAAAUUGCACUGAACUAUAAAAGAGGAGGGGCUGAACGCGCAAAUAGCCCCUCCAGGCAUAACACGCGGAUCCUGACCGCAUUCGGGUCGGGUCUCGGAUCGGCUCCUGGGUUUUAUGCCAAACGGUGCUGUUUUGGCCAUGGAUGCUAAGGUCCAAAACGUCGCCGUUUUUAAACUAUAUAAACACUCAAAAAAUCAACAAAAAAAAAAUUCAUCCCUUAUUUUUUUCAAAAAAACUGAGAGUCUCCCUAACUCUCUCUCAACCCCCAUCCCUCAUAUUCGGCCGACGACCUUCUUAGGCCUCCGUCGCGCCACCUCGUAGCCGGAGGUCGGCGCCGGAAAUGAAAGGCCAUUAAACCCCUUUUGUGGAGUCCUUGAGAGCCAGGCUCUCUCAACCCGCGAGGAGUGAAACAAAAGGGGGACCCUCGACCUUGGCAGACCCGACUCAACGAUGGAGGAGAGAGCCUCUGGCGGCACAGUCACGGCCAACUCCAGUGAGUCACCCUUCCCUUUUUGUCCUUUCUUUUAGUACUAGUUUUAAAAUCAGAUUUUUUAAAAAAAUGAUAAAUAAAAUAAGUAAAUAAUUCAAAAAAAAAGAAUCGGAGAAGACAGCAACCUUUGUUUCUAUUUCUGAAAUUCGUAAAAAAAUGACAGACGAAGAAUACAAUGUUAAGAUUUUGGCCUUUAUAGCCGAUUUAAAAACCCCUAAAUUUUUAUUUUUUGUCGUUUUGUUGUUUGGCCUGUUCUGCUGUUGCGUGUGGUUUACUGCCUUGCAGGUGUCAGAGGCUGACGGUCGGUGAUAGGCGAGUAACGGCCUGCGUGAGGAGUGGCAGAGGAGGCAGAACAUGCGGCGCUGGGCAUUGGGCAGAGGCGUGCGGCGCUUUGGGGUUUGCUCUUGGCUGAAAUUGUUUAAGUUGUGGGGCAGUCGAGCCACUAGGGUUUUUUUUUAUUGGGACGUUUGGGCCAUUGUAAUUUUGGGUUUAAGUUUGCUGUAAAUGGACUGGAAUAGUUUUUAUUUUUUAGGCCCGGGCCAAAAUUGGGCCUUACAAAGUCGAUAUGACAUUACACAAAUGAUAAUAUGUUUGUCACACCAAAUUUUAGAGAUAGCAGAACUUAAUGAAUUUAACAAAUAUCGUUUACGGUGAUUGAAAUCUUAAAAUUUGAAAAGUACAAUAACUAAAAUAUCAAAUUAACUUAUAGGGAUUAAAUCCACAACUUCAAUAAAAUACAGGAAUUAAUGGUAGAAUUUAACCUUUAUAUAAUAAUUUCCUUGGUGAAAAAAACGCACAUUAUCAUUUCCUUGAAUGAACUUCAAUUUGUCCAUUGAGAUAUAAUCGGAGGGAGUGGAAUAUAUAUAAGAUAAUAUUUGAUGUAUUCGGUAAAUGGAGAAUAUUAAAUAGAGUGAGCAAGCCAUUCGCCUCACGGAACACAUUAACGAAAGACACAAGCUUAAUACAGUCACUAAAUCCAUCAAUUUCAUUAACAACCUGCUAAUAAUUCAAGACAAUUGUUGGGUCCGGAUGGAUUAUAUUUUAAAAUUUUCUUUCAAAAUACAGAAGUUCCUUUGACAAAAAUGAAAAUAUUAUUUAAUUAUAGGGUUAGUAAUUAGUACACUGAUAAUCUACUUAAUGCUAUUGAUUUUUUUUUAAUAUUAUACAACACCUUUAUAAAACACGUGUCAACCCUCUGACUCUGCUUAUGAAAUUUAAAAACUUCAAUGACAAUGUACCAACUAUUAUUCUUAAUUAUUAUACUAUUCAUGAUUUAAGGACAAAGAUCAAAUACAAUAUUUGCUUAAAAAUCUCUAAUAUAUAUGUAUAUAUAUAUAUAUAUAUAUAUAUACAUUUGCUCACUUAUUGUGAUGUAAUAUAGCACCAUCCAGCUAACCCUAGCUUUCUAGCAAGUAGUCGGAGGAAAUUAUUGAGAAAAUAUCAUUAAAUAUAUCAACAAUAAUUGCACUAACUUUCCGAUGUUAACUACUGACCUUUGCGUCAACCUUGAGCUUAUAUAGGCCCCCUACAAUAAUUUAGGCUAUGGAAAUAAUCUUACAAUUAAUGCCUGAGAAAUAAUUAUAGAUCAAUUUAUAGUUUUAAUCCCUAUAAUUACUCAAUUGAAUUAAAAAUUUUGUUAUUCUUAUUUAAUUUAAUUUGAUAUAUUCUGUUCCUCUUAUUAAUGUUAAUGUUUAGAGUCCCCGCUUGUACAUUGGUGAUUAGGUCUCUCACCAUUAAAUUAUUCUCUUAAGAACCUAACCUGCAAAUUCAUAACAUAAAAAAUUUACAGUCAAAUGUAAUCACACAAAUGACAUUCCUCACUUAAACAGAUUAAGUCGUUGCAAAUAUCUAAACAUAAUCAAAGUCGUCGUUAUGGCCCCAAGAGAAGGCACGUUAACUUGUCUCUCUCACACAUAGGAUGAAAUUAGUCUAAACCUAACCUUGGUAGAGCCGACCAUGUCGGGCAGACCACCCUACAUAAAUCUGAUUAUUUUAUCAUAGUUUAUUCAUCACUGAAGGAAGUAUGCAAAAUUAGGCAUACCAUUUAUCCUCACCUCUCUCGCUGACAAAAGAUUCAUGUUAAGUAUAUUCACCCUACAUAAAUUAUCAAGAGGAAUCACAGAUUUAAGGACCGUGGAAAAGAAUUCCAGAACCAGUUAUAUACAAGCAGGGCCUAUGACAUCCCCACUAAUUCUCAAUCAUAUAAAAUAAUAUAUAAUUAAUUCGUCUGGAAUGUUUAAGGCAUGGUGGUGAAUAUAUCAUGAGCGAUGUUGCUGAGUUUCUUCUGAAGAAUUGGCUAGCUAUUAGUGUCUAAAGGAUCUUUAGUUAUAUGGGGCUUAUGUUUCGGUUGCUUGAACAAUUGCUUUUCAGAGGGCAGAAUAGUAGAGGGGGGUUUUGGGGGUCUGGUGGUAUGGAGUUAUGAUGUUAUCAAUAUGAGAUUUUGGUGAUUUGUACUUGAUAAAGGGACACUUUUCGUGAGGGAUUGCUACAUUUUGCAGAUUAUAACAUUGUUUACAAGUGCUUAAAAUGUGUAAUAAUUUGAUCGAGAGAAAAAAUGACCAAAACAAAUGUUCUCAGCAUUUUUGCUUCAUUUAGAACUUGUAAUUAAUUUUUUUUAUCAGAGAAGUUGUAAUUAAUUGGAUUUGGAAUGAAUUGAUAAUAUCCUUACUAUUUCACCUUUUUUAUAUGUUUGGCGUGUGAGUAUGAUACAGAUUGAACUGGUUUUUAAAGUAGAAAUAAAACGAUAACAAACCAAAACAUUCUGGUUUUCAAAAUUUUGAAUCCAAAUCAAUCGAAUUAGUUUAAUUAUAAUUGAAUGUUUUAUGUGUUAUGAUGAUGAAGGAAGUUGAUGAGGUGACUUGCUUCAUCUUUCAAAAUAUGAGGUUCGUUUGAAGUUCUCUUUGACACAUCUUUACUAUUGUUUUUUAAUAACAAAUGAAAAGUCAAUUUAAAAAACAAAAAUCCAAACCAAUGAAUUUCUUUUAUACAUAUAAGAUAAGCUUACUGCAAAGCUCUUGUUUUUUCAAAAUAAAAUUUUGUUUUUGUUUUAUUAAUUUUGUAUGAAUCAAAUGAAGUUUAAUUUUUUUAAGGGUAAAUUAAACCAACAGUAACUCAACUUUGAUGCAGCUGACAAAAUAGUUGAUUUGGUUUCAAUUCAGUCACUCAACUUUCAAAAAAUAACAAAUCAGUCACUAACGUUACCAAAAAGUGACAAAUCAAUCACCCAUUAACAUUUUCCGUUACAGACCUAACGGGACAGGUGACAUGGCUAGUUAACUUGCCACGUUGACAUGGCAAUGCAUUUAAAAUUGGUCUAAUUAAGAAUUUGGUCAUUGUACAUUAUGAAAACAUAAAAAUUAUUUCAAUUGAGUAUCAAUAUUAAAUCUUGUCCAUUGACCCAAAAAUCAUCAUUUCAACAAAUUGUAUGUAAGAAAUUAGUGAAAAUCAACAAUUCAGUAAUUUAUAUCAAAAUUGAGGACUAGCUUUUCAUUUUUUUGUAAAUUACAUGGAUGACAUUCACAAUUAGACCUAAAUAGUGACAAAUUACAAAUUUAAACCCUAAAUACCUUUGUUCAGAGGAUCCGUAGCCAACAGAAUCAAUAAAACCGAUGGAGAUGAAACUCAUGCAUUUGGCGUGAAGAUGAAACUGGACAGAGUAGAACUCGCAUUGUUCGUCACCGUUGCAGGUGUCACAGUCACACGAGAAUCGCAUCGACAUGGCGCGUCGGCUAGUGAGAGGGAUUAGAUCAAGUCGAUGGGCAAUGAACUUGUCGUUGACGACGGAAGAGUUAACUUCAAUUUUGACGAGGUCGAUGGCUAUGUUGGGAACCUCGGCUAUCAUGACACGAUGGAGGGCAUUGGCCAUGGAGGCGUUGGUGUCAUGGCAGCAUAGUUGUCUUUGAGUUCUCGGAUUUUGACCCUUGGGAAUCGCUAGUAUGAAGCUCCUUCCAUUUUCUCUUCUUCUCCAUUUCUUCUCUUCUUCUUCUUCUUCUUCUUCUUCUACUGCCCAAGGCUCUUAAAUGGGGUUGUUUAAAUGACAGCUAGCCUACCGUUAAAUGUCAUGUCACUUUUCUGUUACAAACGUAACGGAAAAUGGUUAAAAAGAUUGAUUUGUUAUUUUUCAAAAAUUAAGUGAUUGAAUUGGAACUAGAGUGACUGUUUUGUCAAUUGCAUCAAAGUUGAGUGAUUGUUGUUGCAAUUUACCCCUUUUUUUUUAAUAGAGAUAAGCUUUGUGGUGGAAAUUUGUUAGGAAAGGAUGAUUGUAGGAAUGGUCCACAAAAUUAAUUGCAUUCCCUUUUCUUGAUGAAUUCUUAUCUUUGGGUCAACUCUUAGCUUAAAUACACUGCUAAAUUUAUUUUAGGUUGUACAAUAUAAAUGGAGCAAUUGAUGUCAGGAGAUAAGUUGGAAGUACAAUUAAAUUUUUUCAUAAGAGGAGAUGGGAUGAGAAGAUUUGAACCCAACAAUUAUUGGAAUUUAGAUUAUAAAAUUGGCGUGAAAUCAUGAAUUUAGAUUAUAAAAUUCUUUCCAUUUUAAUAAUCAUUUUAGAACUAGUUUGGUUUCCAAUCUAUAUUUUGUGUUGUGUUUUGUUUAUGUCAAAUUUUAAAGUAAAACUUUGAAAGUUAAAAUACAUUCUAAGUCCCUAUACACUUUGUACUUUUAGAAUUUAGUUCUCCUAGUUUUUAUUUUUAUGAAUUUAGUCUUUCUAUUUUUUGGUUUUCAAAAUUCAAGUCCCCAAUUAUUUUCACUGUUAAAAUUCUUCUAUUAAACUCACUAGUGUCACCUUUUGAAAUUACCAAAAAAAAAAUCAUUUUGUAGUCAUGUAAUAAUAAAGAAUAACGUUAAAAAUAAUGAUGUGGAUUUUUAUUUAAAAUACUCAUCCAAACUGAUCAUGAUAAAAUGACUUUUUUUUUUGUUGGAAUAGUGUUUUUAAGAAAAAUUGACGUCAAUAUUUUGAUUGGAAUAGUUUACAAUGUUAAUUAUUUAGACUAACUAAUGACAUUACAAAAAUAAAAUAAUGAAAUUAUGCCAAAAAUUAAGGAAUAUAAAUUAAAUCUCAAGUUUUAACAUAAUAUAGGGGCUAAUACUAAAAUUUGACCAUUAAUUUCCAUGUAAUAUAAAAUAAAAAUAAAAAAGUUGUGUGAAGCAGCCCAAGCUUAUGACAGAAAAAAAAAAACACGGCCCAAAGCUAAGGUUACGUGUUAGAAAGGGAAUGUCAUGAUAGGGGUGAGUAUUCGAUCAAGUCGAGUUAAAUUGAGUCAAAAAAGUUUAAGUUAGUCGAGUUUACGAAUCCUAUUUUAGUAACCGAACUCAAUUUGAAUUUUUUUUCUGAAUCAUAUUGAGUCAAAAAGUUUCGAGUCAAGUUGAGUCGAGCUAAAGAAUCCUAUUAUUUAUACUCAAAACUUAUAUUUACAUGGACCGAUUAUUUAACUAGUAGAUGAAGUACAAGAUUAUUUAACUACAUAAACAAUAUAAUGGUUUUGCCUUUUAACUUAAUGAGUAAAUAUUUAUCAAAACGAUAUAGUUUUGUCUUUUAAUUUAAUAGUUUUGACUUUUAACUUUGGAAAAGAUAAAUUCAGAUUUUCAGAUAACUCGAAUUGUGUAAUUCAUAUUCAAGUUGAAUAUAAAAACUUAAUUUUUUUAUUCGGGUUGAUCCGAAUAACUUGAUUAACUCAAAUAACUCGAACUAUUUAAUUCAAAAUUUAAAAUUUUUAUCAAAAUUUUCAGAUCAAAUCGAAUUUUGCUCACCCCUAGUAUUGGACAUUAUUUUUAUAUACGGGUGUAUAUAUAUGUGUGCGUGUGUGUGUUUGAUGUGAUUUCCUUGUGAGUUCCAUCUAUUUUUAGAAGUUUUUCCACGUAAAAUAUGUGUAUUUAAUAUUUUCAAUUCUUUUAUUAUUCUACUUGCUCGUUGCAAAUACGUUUGAUUCACAACAUUUUAACCUAAACUUAAUUGUAAAUGAUAAGAGAUAUUUUACGAUUAAAUAAAAAAAUUUAAACCACUAAACCAUUACCCUAAUAUGUCAAAACACAUGCAUUUUUUAAUUUCAAAAUUUAUGAAUUCCGAAGUAAAGAGCAUACGAUAUUUAUAUUAAUGUAAGAAAUGUAGGCUUGCUAAGUUUCGCAAAAUCAUAUUACACUUUUAAUUGAAUAUAAUGGUGGGAUGAUUCAAUUAUUAAAAACUAAGUUCGGGCAAAAAUGUAAAAAUAAUCUAAAAUUAAUUGAAUUAUUAUAAUAAAUUUAUAUAACUUAUGGAGUGAACCAAAUCAUGACAUAAUAUCAAAAAUAAUUAAGACAUGUCAUAUUACAAAUAAUAAAAACUCAACUUUAUAAGCAUAUCAAAAUUUAUUAUCAUGGCGUAUAAUAUGUUAUGAAAAAAGAAAAAAGAAAAAAGAAAAAAGAAAAAGAAGAGAGACAAUCGCUUCAUCAUGAGAUAUAAGCCCUUGAAACCAAAAGUUAGUUGAAGCUGUUAGGAUCGACUCAAUUAAGCAACAAGUAACAAAAAAUAGUGGAGUAAAUUGAGAAAUUGAACACACAAAUUUAACGUGGAAAACCCCUCCAAAGAGGAUAAAAACCACGGGCAAAAAUAAUUUUACUAUAAUGACAAAAGAAUGAAGAGUACAAAAGAUGGAGAUAAAAAGCUAAACCCCAAAAAACCCCAAAAACAAAGAACCCUCAAAACGUAAACACAAUGUAACGCCCCAGAAUUUUUAUUUUUGUUCUUGCAAAGGUAUAACACAAUUGUGUAUCUACUUUAGUGGUUAAGUGUUUUGGGUGUAUGAGAGGUCUCAAGUUCAAGCCAAGACUUGGCGAAAUUUUGGUAUUUUUAUGAAUAAGCUCUAUCUUUGGUCAGUAGGCUUUUAAGUAAGAGUCGACAAAUAAUUAAAAGAAUGAGCUUGUUCGUUUGGUGGAUAAGUGGAGUGUUGGUGUGAAGGAGGUUUUGUGUUCAAUUCUCUAUGGUGGCAUGGAGAUAGUAUUUUUGCUCCAAUUUUGGCUAAGAGUUGUGUUUGGGCAAAAUUCUGAGUAGUUGUGUUUUAGUGGGUUAAUAGGGAGUGAUUUUUGGAAAUAAUGGGGGAGAGGUUAUCAGAAAAUAAUCUGAUUGUCUUUUUAUUGCAUAAAAAAAGUAGAGUUUCGGUUUUCUCUCCAAUUACCCAAACUUUUUCUGACGUUUUCUUCUUUUUUUUCCCUCCGCUGUCGAUUCUUUCCCCUAGUUGUUGCCAAAAUUUCCAUUAUUUUUUCCCCUUCCAUUUCUUUCUUUUAUUUUCCAAUUGAUUUGGUUGUUUAUCGUUGGUUGCGUGUGUUCGGUAAGUAACGGUUUUGUCUAUUGUUAAUUGUUCUUAGUUAAUCUCUGAAAGGGGGAUUCCUUUUUGGUGUUUCGGAGUUAAUCAAGGGGCUAGUGGUUAUGAAUCGAUGCUGUGAUUGUGUGAAGUCAUGAUUACUCAAGCGAGGUAAGGGUUUUGUUAGGUUUUUAGUUGAGUUCCUUCCAAAAUUGGUUAAUUAAAAAUGAAUUAAGUGAUUAAUCUGGAGAUUUGUUGGUCGAUUUUUAGGUUAUGGAGGCUUAGGAGUGCUUACGCAUUAGAAAUGAUACCAGGUGUGUACCCGAAAAGCAGAAAAUGAGAUUCGGCGAAAAGCAUAAAUUGCUUGCUAUUUGGACAGCAGCAGUGGGCUAACUUUAAAAAAUCAUCAUAAAUUGUGAAAAUUGAAUUAAAGGAUGAAAAAAGUAUGGAAUUAAAUAUUAUUGAGUCUAGUUUCUCAUAGAGAAAUGGUGUAAGUAAUGGAAUUGUAAAUCGUGAGAUAUAAUAAAUUUUGUGAGACAAGGUCAGAAUGAAUUCAGGUUUCCCUUUUUUGACUUUGGAAAAUCAUUAAAAAUUGUAUAAAAAUGAUUAUGGGUUAAAAUUUAUAUGAUUAAAAUUCUUAAUGAGUAUAUUUUCAAGAGAAACAAACCUUAACAUCAUCUGAAUCUCGUACUAAGAGAUAAUUAAUUUUUAGAGAAGAAGGGUCGAAAUUAUCAGACAGCAGAACAGGGACAAUUUUGAAGAAUUAACUGUACUCAUUGGCUAAACCAAAAAUUCUAAAAAUUUUAAGGUAAGAAGAUAUGUGAGUCUGUUUUUCGGGAAAAUCAAGCGGAUCUUAAUUUUGAAUUCUGUAGCUCUAGUUAUAAAUAAUUUAGUGACAAUGACUCAAGUAGACAACUCUGAAUGAUCAUAUUAGUAAAUAGUGGAAACAUAUAUGAAUAUUUAGCUAGCAUGGGUUACAUUAAAAAUGGAUCACACGGCCAAGGCCAAUUUGGGCCGAGUGGGCCACGCGGGCACAUGGGCGUGUGGGUCCAUUUUUACCAAAAUGUUUCUAAGGCUGCACAGGUUGCCCAAGUCGACUGUGAACCUACUGUAAGGUCGGUAAGUGCUACUUAAACCCCUAAAUGUGUGAAAUUGACUGAAUGAUAUUUGUACUGAGCAUGUUAAUAUCUAAACUGAAUAUAUGUACUGAAAUUGCAUAAUAGCAUAUCAUCCAUGGUAUGUUGCAUUGCAUUGGGUUGAGGGUUGUUAUUUGGAGGAAAUGUACUAAAAGGCUUUAAGCCUAAUUUACUGGAAUCUUAGCUACAAACUACUGUUUUGUGCCGCAAUAUUCAAUACUACUUGAAGUGUAGGAAUGGGUGGGUUGAUUAUAUCCCCACAUGGUGUGUAGAGGCUGGUUGGCAAAUGGAGUUUUAGUAAGCACAAGCAUCGUCAUCUGUCCAUCAUAACUUGGAAGACAACAAAGAUACUCAUAAAAUAGAUCUGCAAACUGAAAAGAGAGAAGUCAUGUGGAGUGAAUAAGAAGAAGAAAGAAAAAAAGGUUGGUGGGAGGAAGAAAAAGGGUCGCGAUAGCCAAUCCGAAGGUUGUCAAUGCCAUUGGGCAAAAUAAAACAUAAUAAACAAACGGCUUGGAGAAAAAAAUUAAGAAAGAAGAAAAAAUUUAGGCAAAAUUUAUAUUAAUGUAAGAAAUGUAGACUUAUUAUGAUAUUACAUUUUUUAGUGUGAUCAUUCAAUUAUUAAAAAUGUAUUUAUAACAAAUUAUGUAAAAUUUUAUAUAAGCAUAUAAUAUGUUAUGCAAAGAGAAUCACUUUUCUUAGUUGAAUUGUUAUAACACAUUAUACAAAAUAUAUUUUAAAUUAAAGCAUAAUGUGAAUACGAUACCAACCAACAAAUUAAAUUCGAUGAUUUAUGGAUAAUUACAUUUAUUACUCAAUUUAAUUUAAUUCAAAGAGCUAUUGAAUACACAUAACAAUUAAUUAUGAUUAAACUUUAAAUUUCACAGAAAAUAAAAAGAAAUAGAUUGUUGAAAAUGAUAAAAUGGAAAGAUAAAGCUACAAACUUCCUCCCCACAAACCUAAGAGCUUUUUAUUCAAAAUGCAGAAAUCAACAAAAUAGUCCUCACAAUCCAACUUAGCAUAGUAAAACAAUUAGGUGGGGAAAUCAAAUAGUAAAUUCCUUUUUCCUUGAAUCAACACCAACCGACUUUGUUGAAAUCUUCACUAUAGCUAAUCACAUUGCCUGAAGAUGUGAUAUGUAAGAAAAUUGGCCAUUGUUGAGUAACGACAGGUUGUGAUGCACUUUCCAAUAAAAGAAAACCAAACACUUCGCCAAUAAGGAUUUAUGUAAAGAACAACAAAAAUUGUCAAGACCACAACUAUAUAAGAAACCAGGAAGCUCACACAAAAAUCAUAUGUGUCUAGCAAACUGUCCUCUCCUUCAUCAUCUAACGAAUUUGAUCUAGUUGAUGGUGCAUCUGGUUUGGAGCAACUUUUAUGCAAAAUAGUUCCACAAAGAAAAGGGUUUCCCUCGUAACUACUUUCAAUAAAGGUCCCAAAUUGAGCUUUUGGUUCAGGAAUACUACCUGACAAGUUGUUGUGUGCCACACUAAAAACUUCCAAAGAGUUCAACUCUACCAACUGAUUGGGGAUUUCACCACUCAAGUUGUUGUAAGAAAGGUCCAAACUCUCAAUUUGAUGAAGUUUUGAGAAUGAUGAAGGUAUAACUCCGAUCAACUUAUUGUGUGACAAGUUUAAAGAAUAGAUUUCACUUAAGUUCCCUAAUUCUGGUGGGAUAUGACCAGUUAAGUUGUUGCAAGAUAAAUCAAUCCCGGUCAUAUAUGCAAGGAUGUUGCCCUCGUACGAAUACAACCCACUCUUUGUUGUGAACUCUAUUACUUCUUCUAAAUUCUAUUACUUCUUCUAAGUAGCUGUCAGGGUAGUAAGGAUUUAUAUCCCUUUCCAAUUUUCUCAUCGCAAUGGAUGUUGAUUCAUCCUUUUCUGUAAAUGGAAGAUAGAACCCAGUUGCUAGACUCUCUUUCUCUUUCAUUGGAAGAGAUAAAUUUCCCAAACAAGAAGGUAUAGGACCAGAAAACAUAUUUUGAGAAAGAUCUAUGAUGCUUAAAGAAUACAACUUGCAUAACUGAAUUGGAACUUUGCCAUGAAAAUGAUUAUCUUUCAAGAGAAGAACACUCAAAGAAGAAAGUGUGUCAAUCCAUUUUGGCAUGCUACCUGUCAAAUUUUUUUCUCUAAGAUCUAAAGUCACUAGUGAAGAGCUAUUAUAAAAAGCAAGUGAUAGUGGACCUCUCAGUCUAUUCCCGUGGAGGUGGACAUGCUUUAUGUUUGGUGGAUUAAAACAUGACGGUAUAGAGCCAGAUAAAUUAUUUUGAGAAAGAUCCAAAAACUCCAACCAAUUCAAGUUGCAAAAUUCCAUUGGAAUAGAACCCUCGAAACCAUUGUUGGACAAAGCCAAUCUCAAUAAAAAUGAUGCAUUCCCUAUCCAUCUUGGGAGCUUUCCAUGCAACUGGUUGUUACUGAGAUCAAUAUCGCUUAGUGAAUUUGGAAACUCAAAAGUAGACACAUCAACAUUUGUCACCUCUCCUGAAAAUUUAUUUCCAUCCAAAUAUAAAUUCUGCAGCCCAUUUGCUUUGAGAAUCGCAGGAACUACAUUUCCACUGAAGUUGUUAUUUGAUAGUCUCAAAAUGGUCAGUGAGCCUUUCGUGAUCAACUCUUCUGGUACUUUUCCAUACAAUUGAUUGUUUGAUAGAUCUAAAAUUGAUAAAUCCUUCAUGCCACUUAAACAAAGUGGGAUAUUACCUUCAAAAGCAUUCUUGGAUAAGAAUAACCGACUCAAAUGUGGAAAAGUUGAACAUAUACUGGUCGGAAUUUGACCUUGUAUUUUGUUUUCAGAGAUGUCAAUUGAAGAUACAUUAGAAAUAAGAGCUGACGAAAAUGAGAGAGGACCUGUAAAAGAAUUGCCCUUCAAGAUGAGAUCUUCUAACUUUGUGUUGUUUUCUAACAACCAAGUUGGGACCGUUCCACUGAAAUUGUUAUGAGAAAGAUCCACAUAUCUCAAGUCAUAUUGGUAGUAAAGGAAGGUAGGAAGCUUACGACUGAGCUGUUGAGAUGUUAUGCACUUUGACAAACUGAUGACUUCCAAUUGGAACUUUGGGAUUGAGGUAUAAAAGGAAGGUUCCGUUACCAUCUUGUUUUCAUUACUCAAGAGGGCUUUGAUAUUUGAAAGGUUUGCAAAUGGUGCGAAUGACAACGGAAUUUGAAAAUGGUUUCUUGAAAUAUCUAACACACGAAGAGCUGUCAAGUUACUAAAACAAUGAGGAAGCAUCCCCUCCAGUGCAUUCCCACUCACAUCCAAUACUUCAAGAUUCCUUAGAUCACACCAUCCUGAAAAAUUGAAAAAAUUGGUGGAAGAAAUUCUAAUUAAAUUUGGUCUUAUUUAAGAGAAUAUGAGAUAUUACACAAAGCUCAUACAAAAUUCAAUUUGAGCCAUAAAUUUAUUUACCUUGAUUAGGUAGGGGACCAAUAAGUCAACAAUCAUAUAAAGAUAAUGUUUUAAGAGAAACAAGUACUCCAAUGCUUUGCAAAAUAUUGGUGUUGAGAGUAGAAUAGUCAAGAUAUAUUUCCUCCACAUUUCUCGACACAUUUGAUUCUAAGCAAUGUCUAGAGAUAUUAGAUAACGAUAUUGUAAAUAGAAAAUUAUAAUUGAUCAUGAGAAAGAAGUUCAUAUUGACGAGAAAUGCCGAGGACAGCAAUCGCCAUCCCAUGUCAAAAAAAUCAUUUGAGAUAAAUAAUGUUUGAUUUUCUCAGUCUUUUAUUUUUUGUGAAUGAAAAGAAAUAUAAUUUACUUGAAGUUUUUUUAAUUAUUCGAAAAUGCCAUUUAUUUAUUUUAGGCCAAAAAAUUCCAUUUAUUUAACUGUAAUAUAUAUUUUUAUGUUUUAUAUUAUUAAAACCAUAUGAAAUUAAAAUGAUAGUUAUAUGACAUAUUUUUCCAUAAAUAUGAGUAUUUUUUAUUUAUAAUAUUAUUUUUUUAUUUUUAUAAUUAUUUUUUAUCUCAUAAAAAUUUAAUAAAUUAUUUUGAAAUUAUAUUUAUACAAACAAAAUAAUUAUGAACUCUAAUAUUUUAAAAUUAUGCAAAAUUUAAAAUAUUUUACUUUCAAACCGAAGACCAUAGGAUUUAUAAAAUGUUUCACCGAACCCAUAAGCUGAAUUUUUCCAUGUAUGAUAUAAAACAUAAAGACAAGGAUGAGCAACACAAAGACAGAAAAUUAUUAUUUGGUAGUUUGUUGAUUUACUUUAAGGAUUUAGCAGUUUCAAUCAUGUUCCUGUUAUGCUUUGAUUUUAUUUAGGUUCAUCCAUGUAAAACAAAGAAACAAAAACAUUAAUUAGUUGAAAAAUAAUUAAUUGUGUUAUAACAUAAUCCAAACCUUGUAUUAACAAAUAUUCUGUUUUUUAACCUUUUUCAACGAUGAAGUGGGGAGCACCGAUUCAGGGGCCAAGCAACAACUUUGUAUUGGAGGAUCGAUAUAAAAUUAUUUUUUUUGGAGGGACUAAAGUUAAAAUUAUUUGUGUUAAAAUUGUUGAAAUUGAAUUUUUAAUGUUUAAAGUGACUCAAAAUGCAAUUUUUAUGCAUAUAAUUAAAAAGCUACAGAGGAUUAUAUUGAAUAAUUAAAUUUUAAAAGGACUAAAAAGGGUAUUAUACCCUUGAUUAAAAUAUGUCAUAGGUCCUUGUACUUUUCAAAAAUUUGUAAUUUAGUCGAUAUACUUUUAUUUCUAAGGAUUUAGGCCCUCUACAUUUUCAAAUUUUAGAAUUUAAGUUCAAUUGUUAACAUUAGUUUUUUUUCCAAUGUUUUGAAAUAAAGAAAAUAUUCAAUUGGUAGCAAUGUAACUAAAAAAAUAGCAUUAUAAUGAACCUAAAUUUAACAAAAUAAUCUUAAUAGUGUCAACAAUUAAACUUAAAUUUUAAAAUCUAAAAAGUAGAGGGAUUAAAUUCGUAAAAAUAAAAAUAUAGAGACUAAUUUACAAAGAGUAUAAGGAUUUAUGUUAUAUUUUAACCUAUACCCGUUAGCCUAGGGGGGCCAAGACCUCUGUCUACCCCUUUGGCUUUUCCUCUACACCAAUUGAACAUUAGUUUAAUUGACAUUGUUGAUAUUGCAACAACUCUUUUUCUUUAUUUUCUUCAUCUUAUGAAAAAUGUUAAUUUUUAGUUUUGGACAUUUUUAAUAUGCUUAAAUUUGAGAUUUAAUUAUUAUCCUUUAUUUCUAAUUUAAAUUAAGCUUUAUAUUUUUAUAAUUUUACUAGUUAGUUCAAAUAGUUAAUUCAUUAACUUUUCAAUUAAAAUAUUAUGUAGUUAUAUAUUAUUUAAAAGUGGAUUUUUAAAUAGAUUAAAUUCUUAAAAAUAAAAGUUGAAGGAAAAAAAAUAAAAUUUAAACAAAAACGAAAGUUUAGUCAAAUGAUACCUUUAUGGAUCAUAAAAUCUAUCAAUUCAUUUGCCCUCAUAUUCAAAUGCAUCCAAAUCUGGAAAAAAAAGGGUAACAUAUAAACCUCAUUAUAUUAUCUUAAAACAUUAUUAAUGUUUUUGUUAAUUGAGUCAAGAUUUUGGGAAAAGAAAAUGUUUUUACCUUUUGCAUCUAUUGGUCCUUUCAAUUGAUUGCUUAUGGUCAAAGUUUUCAAAUUCAAAAGCUUGUUAAGAGAUGCAAAGACACUAUUAUUGAAGAGAUUGGAAUUUAAAUUAAGCUCUUUUAAGUGCGUCAAUUCCGAUUUUCUACCACCAUCUGCAAAAGAUUUACAUAAGUUCAUCACUGAAAAAAAUUAGCAUAAAAUUUAAUUAUAUAUAAAAACUUAGAUAACUCAUCAAAUAUAAAUACAUACCUUUGGAGGAUUGAAGGCUUUCAAUUUGAUUCUCGCUUAGAUCAAGUUUCUUCAAGUUUAUCAAAUUACUCAAUCCUAUAUAUUUUCACGUCCAAUUCAAAUAAUUAUGUUAAUAAUUUAAUUUUUACCGAAUAUUUGAAUGAGUUUCAUAAAAUAAAAACAAAAAAUUGGUUUGUUAGGCAAUUUUUUUAGGUGUUGUAGAAAUUUUAAGUUCCUCCAAGUUUAUUAUGCUUAAUUGUUUUUCAUCUAUAGUAGGAAGAAGAAUAGUUUCUAAUUAAUAUUAUAGGCUUUGAAUAUUUUAUAAGUUCAUCCCUUUGAAAAUUUAAUUUAUUCAAUAUAUAAAAAUCAUACUUGUACCUUUGUUUGAGAUGCUUUCAAUUCUGUUCCCACUUAAAUCCAAGUAGUUCAAGUCUGUCAAAUUAUUCAAUUCUGAAAUUCAAUCCUAAAUAUUGAUUAGUUAUAUAUAUUCAUGAUAUGAUAAAAUCAAAUAACAUAUUGCAAGUUUGCAACAACUUUUCCUUCAACAUAAAUUGAUUUUAAAGUACAAAAGAAACAAGUAAAAUCAAUCUACCUUGAAUAUGAAGCAGCCUUCCUUCCAACUGAUUACUACUCAAUCUUAAAGUCUUCAAGGAUGAAAGAUUUCUCAUAUCGAAUAGAAUGCUAUUCUUCCAAGAAUUCCCACUUAAAUUAAGAGUUUCCAAUUUAGUGAGUCUUGAAAGCCACUGAAAACCUGAUUUAUAUACUAUAUAAUUAGUUACUACUAAACAUAAUAAAUAAUAAUACUCUAAUUUUACAAUAAAAAUUUACUAAAAUCUGUCAUUGCCUGUUGGAAUAAUAGUCUAUCAGAAAAGUCAUGCACAAAUACUUAUACCUUGGUUUGAGAUGCUUUCAAUGUUGUUGUAACUUAAAUCCAAGUACUUCAAGUUUGUCAAAUUAUUCCAUUCUGAUGAAAUUCAAUCCCAAUGUUGAUCAGUUAUGUUUUCAUGAUAAGAUAAAAGCAAAUGAAAUAUUGCUAUAGCUUUUUCUUAAACCAAAUUGAUUUUAAAGUAAAAGGAAGCAUGUAAAAUAAGUCUACCUUGAAUAUGAAAUAAUAUAUAAAUACUAUAUUUAUACCUUUGUUUGAGAUGCUUUCAAUUUUGUUCCCACUUAAAUCCAAGGACUUCAAGUUUGUCAAAUUAUUCAAUUCUAAAAUUCAAUCCCAAAUGUUGAUCAGUUAUAUUUUCAGGACAAGAUAAAAGCAAAUGACAUAUUGCAAUAACUUUUCCUUAAACCAAAUUGAUUUUAAAGUAAAAAAGAAACAGGUAAAACCAAUCUACCUUGAGUAUGAAUCAACUUUCCUUCCAAAAGAUUGUAUCUCAAACUUAAAGUCUUCAAGGAUGAAAGAUUUCUCAUAUAGACCAUAUUGCUAUUCUUCAAAGAAUUCCCACUUAAAUAAAGAGUUUCCAAUUUAGUGAGCCUUGAAAGCCACUGAAAACCUGAUUUAUAUACCAUAUAAUAAGUUACUGCAAAACAUAAAUAAAUAAUAAUACUCCAUUUUUUAGUUAAUUUGAGUAAGUUCUUGUUAGUCUUUUUUUCAUCUCAACCAUAUGAAAAAUUAUUGAAGCAAAAACUAAGUUACAGGGGAUAAAAGAAUGGAAAAUCACUGUCAAACGUCACAAUACAAAUAAAAACUAACAAUAGACCAAACUUAAUUUACCUCUUGGAUGACUUGAUCCUUCGAACCGGUUGUGUGAUAAAUCUAAAUAUCGGAGAGACGAAAGCUCACUCAAAGAUAAUAGAAUGCUAUCAUUCAAGUGAUUGUAACUUAAGUAAAGGAUCUCUAAAUUACUUAAUGUGGGUGAUAGCUUUCCAAAACCUGUAGGAGUGUUCUUUUAAUUAUAUACAAGUAAUUAAUGACUUUUCUUCAGUAAAAUAAAAUAAAUUAUAAGUAAUUGCAAACUAACAAUGAAUAGAGAAAUAGAAUAAUAAAAUAUGUAAUUAAGGGAAAAUUAAAGGCACGACCUUCAUUUUCUAGGUUACCACCUAUGGCAUUCUCUGACAAAUAAAGACUCUUCAAUUUCUCAAAAGGAAGAAACAUAGAGGCAUUGAGAUACCAAUAAUCCAUGUUGUAUUCCCAUUUUGUAGAAUUAAGGGAGAGUUGUAUGACUCUCCUAGUGAUGGAGUUGCACUUAACUCUUUCCCAUUUACAGCAAUCUGAACCCUUCAGAUCAACCCAACUUUUCAAUGGGUUACCAUAAUUGAAGAAAGGUUUGAGAUGCAAGAGAGCGAUUCUCUCAUGCUCCAAACAAGCAUCAGUAGUACACCACCUACAUCCUUCUAACACCAACAACAGUACUGCCAUCCUAAUAAACCAUAACCAUUUCCACUCCAUCAUCAUCAUCUUUCUGUUUUCCCUUCUCUCUCAGCUAUAUGUUACUUUUUUAACUUCUAUAUGUAUAUAAUCUGCAGAAGCCUAAGCAGGACCUAUGCAUCCCACUAAUUCACUGUAGUAUUAAAAUAACAUAUAAUUAAUUAGUUCCUCAAAAAUUGAAUGAAUCUAGACUUGUGCUGCUCUAACUUAUACGUUAGGAAAUAAAUGUUGACACAAUUUUUUGUUUUAUUUAGAAGUUGUAGUUAACUAUAUUUGCUUGGAAUGAAACUGAAUUCAAAUCAAUCAAAUUAAUUAUAAUAAAAAAUAAAAUAUCAAAAAACUGUUCAAAAUAUGAGUUAUGUAGAAGCCCUGUUCGACAUAUUUUAACUUUUAUUCUUUAUAUAAAAAUGAGAGUUACAAUAAAUAGUAAAAAGAAAAUCUAAUCAAAUGCACUUUUCCAUAACAAAAUUAAUUGCAUUCCUUGUGGAAAAUGAACUCUUGACUUUGCCGACCAUCCUCGACUGAAAUAGGCUGCUAAUUUUAAUUUAGACUGUAGAAAAAAUUUUAACCCAAUUAAUGUCAUUUGAAAUUAAAAUUACUUUAUAAACCUUUUGUUAGCCCUUAAAUUAAUAAACCUUUGUAAAAAUAGUUAUUGUAGCUAAUUGAGUUUUAACUCAAUCGGUAUUGGUAUUGUUGUCAGUAAAAGAAGACGUAAGUUUAAGUGUGCAGAAACGUGUGUUUUCUCCUAUUUAAGGAUUAGGGUGGAUUAUGAAUAAUUCUUUGAAUUGUAUUAACUUAGAAGCUUUGAGAUACUCACAAUUGAAUUAAACAUUCAAUAUAUAUAUUUAUCUUAUUUUUUUUUCUAUUUCCGAUAAAUAAGAAAAGAUCAUUCUUUACGCCACCAUACGAUUUUAGUAUCACAAUCAAAUGAGACUUUUAAAAGUCUUAACACUAUACAAGUAGUUAGUCGACAAAACUUGCACUAAUUUACUCUUUACGCCGAAAUUAUUUACAAAGUGCAAACAACAUUACUUUCACACUAAUUUUUUCCUUCUAUUUAUGUGGGAUAAAUAUCAAAAUUAUAUAUGAAUUUUAAUUUAAUGUGUAAUAUUAUAUAUAAAUUUUGAUUUUGUGUAAUUUUAAAAUGAAAUUUUGAUUUGAUUUAAUUUUCACAAAUCAUUAACAACAUCAUCGAAUUAGUACUAUAUUACAUUGAUAUAUUGCAUGCACAAACAGGUAUACUAAACCAAUAUGAAAAUAAAUAUAUGUAUUCAUUUAUUUAAAUGUGUACAAUUGAAUCAAAAUAAAAGUUUCAUGUAUACAUAUGGAUCACAAUUCAAGUUUCAUACAUAUAAUUGUACCAAAUCAAAGUUCAUAUAUCAAAUUGCACAUUAAGCCAAAAUUUAUGUAUAAAUUUAAUAUUUAUCCCAUUUAUGGGAGAUUAGCUUUCCAAUGGUAUUGUUUUAUUUACAUUAAUCCAAAUAAUUGGAAAUGAUGAAUUAGUUUAACGAAGAUUGUAAUUCUAUUAAUGUUUCUUCUCGAAUUUUUGGUUGCUCUUAUUAGCAUGUUUUAUUAAUUGAUAGAUUUAAAUUCUUGGAAUAUAUUCUAAUUAAUUAGAUAUUUCCUUCCUUCCAAAAGCCUUUCAAAAUAGGUUUAGUUCGACCAAGAUACUCUUGUAGAAAAUUUUAGUUUUGUGGGAAAAAGAAAACUAGAUUUAUUUUUUACUCUAAUUGGUUUUAUAUGCAAGGUAUAUAAACUUUUGUGUCGCUGCAAUUUUUUUCCAACAUAUGUAUGUGAUUUGUGGGGUUUCAAUUUUGAAUUUUUUUUUACAAUUUAAUUAAAUUGUGAAAGUAUUUGAAAGUAUUUGAGUUGAUACAAUGUUUAGAACUACCCCAACACCCACCUAACCCUUAAAUAGGAGGAUAAACACGCUUCAGCACACUCGAACUCACAUCCUCCUACACCGAUGAUAAUACUAAUGCCAACAGAGUUAAGACUCAACCAGCCUUGAAUUUUGAAUUUUACUUCUUACACAUUUUGAAUUUUGAAAUUUUAGUUUUGACCCAAACAGUAGCAGUUAAAUCAAUUUGAUUAAAUUUAAUUACUAGUCCUAUAUUAUGCGUACGAUUAUUGAUUAGUCUAUACUCUCAAAUUGGGCAAUUCUAAGUACCUAUACUUUCCGAAUUUUGAAAUUUCAGUCUUGAUGCAAAUGACAAUUAUUAAUCCAUUAAUUUGAUUUUUAGUGAGUAAUAUGUGAAAAUAACAAACUGGUAUAACAUUACACAUAUGAUAAUAUGUUUAUUCCACCACAUUUGAAAAUAGCCGAAUUUAACAAAUAUUGUUAGUGAGGAUUGGAAAUUAGAGUCUAGCCCCCUACAAUAAUUUAGGUUAUGGAAAUAAUCUUGCAAAUAAUGCUUGAGACAUCAUUAUACAUCAAUUUAUAGUUUUAAUUCUUAUACUUACUCAAUUGGAAUAAAGAUUUAGUUUUUUAUUUUCUUUUAAUACAUUGUCUAGAAUCUUUAUUCCAAUUGAGUAAGUAUAAGAAUUAAAACUAUAAAUUGAUGUAUAAUGAUGUCUCAAGCAUUAAAAAUAACUAACUUCAUUAAAAAAUUCAUUAGUUGGCUCUCUAAGACUUAAAAAUUAAAAUUAUGUGGUUAUUAAAAAAGAAUUAUUUUUAUUAAAUUAUUAUUUAAAAUAAAUUUAUCUCAUCAUAAUGAUAUGAAUUUUUUUUCUUUAAAAAAUCCACAUUAACCGACUAAUAGAAUUGUAUAAAGCUGCCACCAAUCUCUUGGCAUGAUGGCAAAAGAUUCAGAGGCAAGCCAGAAAGUUUUUUGAGAGGAGUGAAUAAAGUUAUAUCUUUUUAUUAUAGUAAAAAUGAAAUUUUAUUAUUUUAAUAAUUUAUAUUUUUAUAAUUUUUAAAAGAUUAAAUAAAAUUUUUUUUUAUUUUUGAGGGGAUAAAGUAUAAGUUUAUCAUAUACUAAUUUAAAAAUUUUAAAAUUAUAAAAAGACUAAAGAUGAAAUUUUUCAUUUUAGGGAGAUGGGGCCCUGCCAGGUCCCUUGACUUCGCCUUGAUAAAAGUAUUAUGUUGCAAGUAUAAAGUUUGAGUUUAAUCUCGAACAAUCUCAUUUCUUAUCCCUAAUUAUAAAAUAAUAAAAUAAAUAGAGCAAUUGAUGUGAGGAGGCAAGUGUAAUAGGUCAAUUUUGACCUGGGCCAGAUUUCAAAACAAAACCCAAAUUAAAUAAUAAAAGAGUCCAAAAUAAUUAAAACAAUCCAUCCAUUUUACAAACAAACCCAAAUUAGCAGCCCAAAUACAAAUUAAAACUCAAUAACUCAAAACUAACCCUAGCCCAAUUAGCUCAACACUUAAACACAACAAAAAAACCCCUAGCCCCCUAAGCCUCCAACGCCGCAUGACCACCUGUGCCGCACGCCGCCGCCGCUCAAGGCUUGCCUAUCACCGACCAUCCACGCGUCUAACACUUGCAAAACCAAGGCAACAUGCAACAACAAAGGCCAAAUAGAGGAAACAACAAGGAAACAGACAAAAAAGGAAGAAACAAACAGUUUUGAUUUGGCUACAAAAGCCCGAAUCUCACCCUUGUAAUUUUUUCAAGAACAUUAGAAAAUAAAAAAACAAAAACAACACUUUCAAGGUGAAUUUCUACUUUUAUUUCUGUUUUAAAUACCUAUUUGAUUCUAUAUUCAUAUUUUUAUUUGAUUUUAUAUAUAUAAUAAAAUAAUAAAAUAAAAAAAGGAAGAAAGGGCUCACCGGAGACGCCCCGUGACCGCGCCGUCGGAGGGCUCUUCUCCAUUGUUGCCAUCGAAUCCGAGAGAGGGUCGGGAGUACUCCUCUUUUGUUUUUUUUGGGUCGAGAGGGCUGGGCUUCCAAGGGAGCUGUGAAACGGGGGCUAAAAACGACCUUUUGCGCAACGCCGGCCACCGGCCACAGGCCACAGCGGCGCUGCGGCGGCAACCCUGGCCUGCCAAGGGGUGGGCUGAGAGAGAGACCAAGAGAGACUGAGAGAGUUCUCUAUUUUUUUAGAAAAAUAAAAGUUGAACUGUUUUUUUCUUUUUCUUUUUGCUAUUUAUAUAGGGUAUAAAACUGCGUCGUUUUGGACUUAAGCAUCAGUGGCCAAAAUGACGCUGUUUUGCAUCAGACCCGAAAGCCAACCCGAAUGCAGUCAGGAUCCUAGCGCAUUUUAGCUUUGAGGAGCUAUUUGCAUAUUCAACCCUUCCGCUUUUGCAAUAUAGUGCAAUUUGGUCCUCGUUGUUUUUAUAUUUUGGCCGCAUAAUUUUCUGAUUGUUUUACUUUGGUUCGAGCUAAAACGCUACGCAUGGGGGCUGGGAAUAUUUGCCAGUCGGUCCCUCAUUCCUUAAGCACGCUCUAUUUCAGUCCCUAGGCUUUUUUUAUUUAUUUGCAAUUUGAACCCCAAAUUUUGGGUCGAUUUCAGUAUCAUCCUUAGUCCAUUUAAUUUAUUUGUUCAUUAUUAUUUUUUAUUUAAAAAGCUCUUUUAUUAUUAUUUGUUUUAAGUUUUUUAUUUAUCAUUUACUUUAAACUGUUUUACAUACUAUUUAUUUAAAAUUUUUUUAUAUUAUUCAUUUUAAACCAUUAUAUGUACAUUAUCUUUUAAAUUCUUAUAUACAUAUAUAUAUGUCGAAACCGUUUUUUUGAAAACAAAAAUUUUUAGUUUCGACUUAAAAAUAAAAACUGGAGUCGCCACCGAUCCUUGAUUGAGGUGUGACCGGCUCACCUUAAAAACAAUUUUGGUCUACGAGAUUUGAGAAAAUGAGUCCGGGAGUCAGUUACGCACGAGGAAGGAUUAGCACCCUCGUAACACCCAAAAUCGGUACCAAAUUGAUUCUUUAAUGCCUUGGUGUCGAAAAUUUGAAAAGAUUUUAAAAGGAAACUUUUUAUUUCAUGAAUGAAUCAAAAUAAUAAGACAUUCUUAUUUCAAAGAAAUAAAACACCACACCCAGUGAGUUAGGGCACAAUAUUUUUAAAUCUUCAAAAUACCCGAAUAUUACCUUUUGCUUUUGAAAAUUCUUAUUUCGAGAAGUCAAAAUAUCAGGACCAGUAAGUUAGGACCCAACAUUUUUGAACUCCCAAGAAUAAGCUUUUAUUUAAAAUUUACGAAUUUAUUGCAAAACAAAUACUUGGCUUUCUAAAUUCAUCGAAAAAUAAUCACGAUCCAGUCAGUUAGGACACGAUCUUUCUCGAGAAUCAUGAAUGCCAAAUAUUUUGGAAAUUUGUAAAAUAUGAUGAUUUUAAUGCCUUGACGAAGCCAAUAUAUAUUUUCUUUAAAAGCAUGAUAAAAUGUUAAUGCAUAACAUGAAACCAAUACUUUAAUUUAAAUCGUAUGUAUAUAUGUAUUUGCAAAUCGCGAAAAUAAAAUAAAUAUAAAUGUAUGGAUAUGUCAUGAAAAUAUGUGUGCAUUUAAAUAUAUGUAUAUAUGUACAAUAUGUAUAAAACCAUGAAAUAUAUAAAAUAAUAAAGAAAAAUGUGUACGUAUAUGUAACAGAGAAUGCAUGUAUGCUUUAAAUUAUAAGAUAUAGGAAAUAAAUAUGUUACAACAAUGUAUAUCUAUAUAAAAUAUAAAUGUAUAUAAAAGUAAGUAAAAGUUAUGCAAGUAGAAUAAUAAAAAAUAUAUAUAUGUAAGGUGCAUGGGUUUAUAAAAAUUAUUUUUAAGAAAAAAUGUAUGCAUAUAUUAUUGUAGAGAAUAAGCAUAUGUAUAUAUAUAGUAAUGGUAAUAAUAAUAAUGAUAAUAAUAAUAAAAAUGAUAAUAGUAAUAAUAAUAAUAAUAAUAAUAAUAAUAAUAAUAUAUGACAUAAUUAAUAAUAUAAAAAACAACAAAUUAAGGAUUAAAUUGGAAAUAAGCGAAGUUUUGAAACUAAAUUUAAAGAUGGGAAUUAAAUAAGGACCAAAUUAAGAUGCGCGCAACAGUAGGAGGAUCGAAAAGAUAAUUUGCCCAAACCUCCCAAAUGCUGCGCAGCAACAUGGACCAAAUUGAAACAGUAUUAAAACAUAUGGCCUAAUUUAAAAAAAUAAAAAGACGGAUUUAAACACCCCUCAUAAAACAGAGGACCAAAUGUGAAAUUGUCCCCUUUCACAGAAAUGCGCGGAUCCUUCCCCGGGUCGGGUCACCGCACGGGUCGUAGGGCUGAAACGGCGCCGUUUUUGUGCUUACCCUUCGGCCCAAAACAGUGCCGUUUUCGGUAAGCUAUAAAUACAAUGUUUUUUUUUAAAAAACUCAUUGUUCUUUCUAUUUCAAAAAAAAAACAAAAAAAAAAUUUCCUUUUCUCUCAAGCAGGCCCAAAAUCCGGCCAAACUCCGGCGAGUGGCCACUGCGCCGUUCACGGCGGCGGGGAGUAAAAAAUCUCGCCUUUUUUAAACUGUUUUUAGAUCCCGUUCAAUAGUCAAACUGCUUUGGCUCAAAAGGAUGACCCUUGGCCCCUUCUCCUCUCGGAUCCGACGUUCUUGAAGGAGGAGAGCCCUCCGACGGUGAACCCGCAAGGCAAAUCAGGUAAGCCCGUUCCCCUUUUACUUCUUAUUUAUUAUGCGUAAAAAAAACAAACAGAAAGAGCAAACAAGGAAAAAAAAAACCGAAUCUAAGGGAAAAAAAAACCUCCGUUUUGUAUUUUAUUUUUUCAAAUCUUUUUUCUUCGUAUUUUCCUCUCUAUUUUCGUAUGUCUUUACACUCAAGACCCCCCUUUUCAGAUCUCCCCCCACGGCUUUUAAAUAGUCGAAAAUAACAACAAAAUAAGCAACAAAAUCAUAUCUCCCUUCAAUAUUGGUUGCGAUUUUUGCUACUACUCUGCUAUUGCUGCGCCAUAUGCUUCUUUUUCGCAGGUGUGGUGGCUGUUGAGUGCGUGGGAGCGACAAGCGCGAUGUGCGGCGCUUGCGGAGGGGUGGUGCGCAGGGUGAUGCGGCGCUGAAGCAGAAAGGGCUAGGGUUUCUGGACUGGGCUAGGGUUAAUGUAAUUGGGCUAAAUUUUUGGGUUUAGUCUGUAGAUGGGUAAUUGGGUCUGCUAUGUUUUUAUUUUAUAUGGGCCCGGGCAGAAAAAUUGGGUAUUACAAUAUAUAUUAAAAAAAACUGUUGUAUGUUUCUUAUUUAUUUAUUUUAAACUGUUAUUAUUAUUCAUUUUAAGUUUUUAUAUACUGUUUAUUUGAAGCCUUUUAUUAUUUAUUUUUGAAUUGUUCUUAUAAAUUAUUUAAUUUAAAUUAUUAUUCUUUGAAUUUUUUUUUUUGCAUAUUAUUUUGUUUUGUUUUCUUUGAUUGUUAAUAUUAGUAUAAAAAAUGAUAUACAUUGUGUGACUAUUACCAUCAUGUGUACUAUAAUUAGUUUCUUCGUGUUUUCAUAUUAUUAUCACUCAUUAACAUAUAUAACAUUUUUUCAUAAAUUGUUAUUUUAUGUUCUAUGUUAUCAUUCCAUUUCACUUCAUCACUUUGAAAUUAAGUUGCCUUCAAUUUGUGUUUACCCAUAAUAAACCGUUCUAUUUUGUCACAAAUAAAACAAAUGCACCUCGUUCAAGCAUUGUACUCGCAAUUAUUCAAAAAAGAGAAAAAUUUUAAAAUAAGGCAAUAUUUCGCAUUUUGGAGAUUCGAGAAAUUGUACCCUAACUUACGAGGUUUCAAUUUUCUCAUUGAACCUAAAUAGCAAAAUAUCUUUCUAAUUUUCAAAAUUUACGAAUUCCAAUAAAGUUAAAGGCUAGCUUAUUCUCGAGGGUUUCAAGUGUCGUGUCCUAACUUACGGGAUGUGACAUUUAUUAUCUUGAGACGAGAGGAUCUUUGGCAUUUGUUUAGAUUUAUUCAAGCAAAUUCUUUUAAAUUGAAAUAGCGUUAACAAAAGGGGGAUUGUGUUUUAAAUUCUUUCGAAGUUUUUCAAUUUUUAAUAUUUAGACAUUAAUUAAUCAAUUGGGUACCAAUUUUGGGCGUGACGAGGAUGCUAAUCUUUCCUCGCAUGUAACUGAUUCCCGAAUCCGUUUUCUCAAAUUUCGCAGACCAAAAUCACUGUUUUGAUAAAUUAAAAUAUUUUAUUAAAACAACUAAAUUAUGAGAUGACCUAAUCACACCUCGUAAAAAAAAUAUUGGUGGCGACUCCCGUUUUAAUUUCCGUUUUCAAACCAACACCGACCCUUUUAAAAAAAAUGGUUUCAAUAUUAAGUUAUAAGUGAAUGAAUUAAAAAUAUGUGAAAAGUGUAAAUAAAGACUCUUCAAUCUCAUUUCCUCUAAUGCUCUUUUUUUUUUUAAUCAGAGAAGUUGUAAUUGACUGGAAUGAAAUUAAUAAUCGCCUUAUUAUUUCACUUUUUUUCUUCAUAUGUUUGGCGUCAGUACAGGUUGGACUGAUUUUAAAGUUGAAGUAAAACGAUAUCAAACAAAAACCAUUCUGGUUUUUAAAAUUAUGAGUCCAAAUCAAUCCAAUUAGUUUAACUAGAUUUUAAUGUCUUAUGUGUUAUGAUGAUGAAGCAAGUUGAUCAAGGGACUUGCUUCAUCUUUCAAAAUAUGAGUUGCUUAAGAGCCCUGUUUGACGCUUUUUUUUUUCUUAAAUUACAAACGAAAAGGUAUUUUUUAAAAAAAAAUUAACUUAAUGAAUUUUUUAUAGAUAUAAAUUUCCUGCAAAGUUAUUCUUUUUGAAAAAAUAUUUUUUUAAUUUUUUAUAUACCUUUUAAAUAGUUAAUGAAAAUAAGAGUUUUCAUUUCGAAAUGCAAAAGCCAAAAACAGUUUUUGACUACAAAAGCUGUGUGUUCUUCAUCACUUCUGCAGUGGAAAAACACUUCUGCAGUGUAAAAACACUUUUAACCCAAAACGGGUUUUCACCUAAGUAGAGAAUCCACCCUAAAAUUGUAAAUAGAAAAAGGAAGGACCAAACAUUGUUUCUACCCUGUUUUUGUCUCCUCUUUGAAAAUACUUUCCAAAAAGUUUUAUCAUUUUCUUUUUAUUAAGUUUUCUGUUGGAUCUUAUAGUCAAAUUCCUUUACAUCAUGUACGUUAAUUUGCUUCGCUCUGAUAAAUGUUAGAUAUAGGGUUAUCAGCUAAUUAGGAAAGACUGAUGAUAGUCACCCCUUACAUCCAAAAGCAAAGCUUUUUUCACAUGUGUAUGUAAGGUUGCUAAGCAAAUCUGAUGAGCCUUCACUGAUGUUUUAAGGUUUAAGUUGAUGUUCCUUUUCGGCAAAGAACAUUAUCGAGAUCACAGAAUUUUGAUCGCCUUUUGCUUGUUAUGUUAUUCGUUCUUAAACGAUUGCAUAAUCUUUACUGUGAUUGCAGGAUAUAGAGGAACUUUUGAAUUUCAUCGGUGUAACGAGUUUAGGACCUUGGCAUGUUCUUGCAAAUUUGAAGGAGCUUCUAAGGUCUGUCCAGUCUUCAGAAUAUAUAGAUACCUGAAUUAAUUUUGAUUUUGUAGGAUCAACUAUAAUUAGCUACUUAUUACAGUAUGAAUAGACAACCUGACCUUCUUCACACACGACACAUGUGCGGAUUUUUUUACCAAUCCCAUUUCAUUAAAGAAAAAAAAGAGCUUUAAAAAAGGAUCACACUUUUUUGUUGUUUACAGAAUCAUAAUGUUAAUUAGAGUGGAAUAUUUCAGAUUUCUGAUAAUGAGUAUAUUAUUGAGUAUUGCAGUAAAAAAAUGGGUGUGCAACUUAUUUGAACUUUGAAUGUAUGUUUUGUUGGUGAGAAUAUAAAGUUGAUAAAGAUUUGGUAAAUAGAAUAAAAUACUAUUUUUUAUUAGAAAAAAUAUUUGGUACACUGCCAAUCGAGUUAUAAUUAUCAUGACACAAUAUUAAGGGUAAUUAAAACAUGUCAUAUUACAAAUAAUAAAAUUAUAAUGACUCAAAUCUGCAAACAUGUCAAAAUUUACGUACAAUGAAUUAUUAACAUGUAAAUGUAUAAUAUGGUAUGCAAAAAUAAGAUCAUUGCUUGUUUUUUAAAUUGAAUUGUUAUAACAUAUUGUACAAAAUACAUUGUGAAUUAAGGCAUAAUAUGAACAUGAUAUCAAAAUAUUAAAUUUUUUUAAAAUUCGAUGAUAUGAAUAAUUAUGUAAAAUAUAACAUGAUACAAAAUAACUUGAAAGGAAAAGAGGAAUAAAGAAUUGCAUUGUUUUUGAGGUUUUAAAAUAUUUCAGUUUUAGAUUCAUUUUUCUAGUAUGUUUGGUUUAAUUUUACAUUAGAUUUCCUUUACAGUAUGCACUAGUGAACGCUUAGUAUUCAAUUUAAUUUAAUUCAAAGAGAUAUUGCAUAUACAUAAUAAUGGAUUAUGAUUUUACAUUAAAUUUCAUAGAAGAAAAAAGAAAUAGAUGGUUGAAAAUGAUAAAAUCAUAAGAUAAAAGAGCUUUUAUUUAAAAUUCAAAAAUCAACAAAAUAUUCAUUAUCGCUCAACUUAGCAUAAUUAAACAUUUAGGUGUGAAAAUCAAAUUACAAUUUGAGUAGCUAAACACAUUGCUUGAAAAUGUGAUAAGUAAGAAAAUUGCCCACAUUUGAGUAGCGACAGGUGGUGAUGCAUUUCCCAAUGAGAGAAAACCAAACUCUUCGCCAGUAUGGAUUUAUGUAGAGGACAACAAAAAUUGUCAACAACACAACUACAUAAGAAACCAAAAAGCUCACACAAAAAUCAUAAGUACCUAUCAAACCAUCUUCUCCUUUAUCUUCUGAUACAGUUGAUAUCGUUGAUGGUGAAUCGGUUUUGGAACAACUUUUAUGCAAUAUAGCUCCACAAAGAAAAAGAUUUCCCUCAUAACUGUUUUCAAUAAAGGUCCCAAAUUGAGCUUUUGGUUCGGGAAUACUACCUGACAAGUUGUUGUAUGCCACGCUGAAAACCUCCAAAGAGUUCAACUCUACCAACUGGUUGGGGAUUUCACCACUCAAAUUGUUGUAAGAAAGGUCCAAACUCUCAAUUUGAUGAAGUUUUGCUAAUGAUGAGGGUAUAACUCCUGUCAACUUAUUAUGCGACAAGUUUAAAGAAUAGAUUUCACUUAAGUUCCCUAAUUCUGGUGGGAUAUGACCAGUUAAGUUGUUGCAAGAUAAAUCAAUCCCGGUCAUAUAUAUAAGGAUGUUUCCCUCGUACGAUAAGAACCCACUCUUUGUUGUGAACUCUAUUACUUCUUCUAAGUAGCCUUCAGGAUAGUAAUAAUUUCCAAGAGCUCCCAAUGUUUUCGCUAAUCCAUCCCCUGUUAACCUUGGUCUAAUUUUCGAAUCAGUUAGAAUCUUAUUUGUUUCCGUUGAAAGGGUUAAAUUUCCCAAACAAGAAGGUAUAAUACCAGAAAACAUAUUUUGAGAAAGAUCUAUGAUGUUUAAAGAAUCCAACUUGCAUAACUGAACUGGAACUUCACCAUGAAAAUGAUUAUCUUUCAAGAGAAGAACACUCAAUGAAGAAAGUGUGCCAAUCCAUUUUGGAAUACUACCAGUCAAAUUGUUUCCUCUAAGAUCUAACGUAACCAGUGAAGAGAUAUUAUAAAAAGCGAUUGGUAGUGGGCCACUUAGUCUACUCCCGUGCAGGUGGACAUGCUUUAUGUUUAGGGUAUUAAAGCAGGACGGUAUAGAGCCAAAUAAAUUGUUUUCAGAGAGAUCCAAAAAUUCCAAGCGAUUCAAGUUGCAAAAUUCCAUUGGAAUAGAACCCUCGAAACCAUUUUGGGACAAAGCUAAUCUCUCCAAAAAUGACACAUUCCCCAUCCAUCUUGGGAGGUUUCCAUAAAACUUGUUAUUUCUGAGAUUGAUUUCCCUUAGUGAAGUUGGAAACUCAGAAAUAGAGACAUCAACAUUUGCCAUCUCCCCAGAAAAAUUAUUUCCAUCCAAAUAUAAUUUUGACAGCCCAUUUGCAUUGAGAAUCACAGGAAGCACAUGUCCACUGAGGUUGUUGUUUGAUAGUCUCAAAAUGGUCAACGAGUUUUUUGUGAUUAACUCUUCAGGUACUCUUCCAGACAAUUGAUUGUUUGAUAAAUCUAAAAUCGAUAAAUCCUUCAUGCCACUCAAACAAGGAGGGAUAUCACCUUCGAAGGCAUUCUUGGAUAAGAACAAUAGGCUCAAAUGUGGAAAAGGUGAACACACGUUGGCUGGAAUCUGACCUUGCAAUUUGUUUUGGGAUAUGUCAAUUAAAGACACUUUAGAGUUAGGAGCUGACGGUAAUGAGAGAGGACCGGUAAAUGAAUUACCCUUCAAGAUGAGAUCUUCUAACUUUGUGUUGUUUUCUAACAACCAAGUUGGGACUGUUCCGCUGAAAUUGUUAUGAGAAAGAUCCACAUAUCUCAAGUCAUAUUGGUAGUAAAGGAAGGUAGGAAGCUUACAACUGAGCUGUUGAGAUGUUAUGCACUUUGGCAAACUAAUGACUUCCAAUUGGAACUUUGGGAUUGAGGUAUAAAAGGAAGGUUCCGUUACCAUCUUGUUUUCAUUACUCAAGAGGGCUUUGAGGUUUGAAAGGUUUGCAAAUGGUGCGAAUGACAACGGAAUUUGAAAAUGGUUUCCUGAAAUAUCUAACUCACGAAGAGAUGUCAAGUUACUGAAACAAUGAGGAAG
Molecule: long non-coding RNA, 51376 nt
Filed under: Gossypium raimondii (Peruvian cotton)
Lineage: Eukaryota; Viridiplantae; Streptophyta; Magnoliopsida; Malvales; Malvaceae
Description: long non-coding RNA (GRAI_LNC003399)
Source: RNAcentral